AUGCUAAUCUGUAUCUUAAUAAUAAAACUCUAGCAUGGAUAUGAUGAAUAGUUGCUCUGCCUAAUUUGCACAUUUUAAGUUCUCUCUCAAGUUUAGACAUUACUGUUAUAAUUUAAAUCUUGCUUUAGACCUAAACUUGUGGGAUGAAAACUUAAUCUGAAGUCUAAGUUGUUAACGGAUAUGAUAUGGGAAGGUUGAGCUGCUGUUUAUCUGUUUCUAGAGAUGCUAGAAUUCUGGAGAAUUUUAUCUUUGAAAAUCUUUAAAAUAUUGCAUGAUGAGUUCCUGUAUGAUGAGAGUUUAAAUUCCUACCACAGCCAUAUAUACAUGCUUGCUAGACUUUGAGCCACACAUUUAAUAUUUACUGCUUAUGAGCAUUGAGUGUGGUCAAGCUGUGUAGACCCUUAGGAGCUUGUCAUGUGGUUAAAUCAAGAUUCACUUGCACGUUCACUCAUAUAUGCUACUUCUAUUCCGGAAGUACCAUCCACAUAUAUCCACCCAUUUCCAUCUCAAAAUCACCCAAAAAUAUUCUACUCCUAAUCCGGGAGAGAAUAGCCAAAAAUAUUUUUGUUUUUCCCUUGUGAAAUAAAUGCUCAAGUUAUCUUGUUACUACCACUUGCUAUAUUAUCUCAAGAUAUGAGUGCUCUAAAAAAAAUAAAGACGAGGAAAUAAAAAGGAGCAAGUGCUCCGAACCUCGAAAGAAAAGAAAAAAAAGUGAGACGAGAGGUAAAAAUGGACAAGUGUCCGACAGUAGAAUUAGGAGCACUAGAUACCCACCCGAGAGAAAAGAAAAAGAUAGAGCAUCUCACUCUCCUCAUAAAGUUUCAAAAAGCAAGGAAGGUAUGUAUCCCCUCAAAAGAGCAAAAGUAGAAUUAGACUUCCACCAUCGUUAUCACCAUCAUCACCAUACAUCAUUCAUUCGCCACACAUGCACAUCUUGAUUUGACUUAUUGAUUUGUUUCUUUGGAUCCAUGGUUUGACUAUGCAAUAAAUGUCUUGUAAGUAUGUAUACUUUAUCUCCCACCUAUGAGCUCCAGAUAUUAAAGCCUUAUUAGAGUAGGGUGAGAGAGAAGGCAAUGUCACUAUGCUUUAUACCACAAAUACUACAUAUCUUGAGAGAAGGCAUAUACCAUCACAGCCUUGGUAAGGAUCCAGAAAUACCACAAAAGAGAGAUCUGAGAGAAUCAUACAAGGAAUCUCUGAGUUUUAUUUGAAAAUCUGCAAAAACACCAGAGCUAUAGCUGAUCAAGAAUAAGAGACAUGGCACUUGGCUAGACUGUUCUAUCUUUUAACUACUCAAGAUAGAAGUGACGGUUACAAGUCCCAUGGUGAAGGUAAAGUCAGUAAGUUUUAAGUCUUGAUAGUUUACUCUCACUCAGAGAUGAGAUCUUAUUUAAAAAGCAUGUGUACCGUCAAUUUUUGAAAAUAUUGCAACAACUUAUGAUCCAUAGCUGAGUCUAUCCUUGCUCAGGGACGAGCAAGAGGUAAGCUUGGGGGAGUUUGUUGACGGUCCUUAAGUAUUCAAUUUAAUUAUCAAAGAAACAAAGAAAAGGAUCCAAAUGAAAUCAACAUCUAGACUUAGGGUUUUAUCUGACAGAAUUCCACGAGUUUUGGUGUUUGUCUAUUUCUGCAGGGGGUUAUCAGGAAAUAAGGAAGAAAGGCCUACACGUCGGGAUUACAUAAAGAUAUUAACGUGCCGCGCAAUUAUCUUACAUCUAGAAGACUCCAGAAGCCACGAGACCGAAGCGGAGGCGAAAUGGGGCCUGACCCUGGGCGCCCGUCCAGGAGAUCAGGGCGCCCGCCCACCUCCUGAGUCCAAUCAGGACUCUGCUUCGUGGGAGAUCUCCACCGACCUAAAGGAUGAAUCUAAACCAUACAAUCUAUGUCGGUUUGAUCCAACGGCCCAUAUUCACUUGAAGGGACUAUAAAACCAGACCCCUUGGCCCCUGGAGGAGAGAGCCUCUCAACCCUAAUUCAUUGUUCCUCAAGGGAGAAGAAGCCUCUGAUCAAGAUUAGAGCCACCACAUCAAUUAGAUAUCUAGAUUAGCAUAGCUACAUAGGAUUAGAACUAGAAGGAGUCAAUCUUCGAUUGGUUUCUGGAUCUGUCAGGAGGAUUCUUGGUAAUUCUCUAAUUGUGCUUCUAAUUGCUUUCUAAUUAUCUUUGUUCUUCAAUAUUAUGAAUAUGACUUUGUUCUACUUCAAUAUAUUGCUUAUGAAUUUGCUCUACUUGCUUAUAUUCAAGAUUAUAUUGUUCUUAGUUUAUCAUAGUUAUGUACUUGGCUUAGUUAGAUUGGAUCUAUAUACAUGCUUAGGAUCGUAUAGCGUUUAUCCAUCAGAUCCAUGGGUAAAUGAUAGAUAUUGUGUAGGCGUGGUGCUUGUACCGUACUUAUCUGCGAUUGUACCCAAUAUGCCAGAUCGUGGGGUAGUUCGUGAUAGUGACAGCUUCAUUGAUUCUUAUAUAGUCCCCCUCUCGUGUAUUGGGCUGGCAGAGCAACAUUAUUACAGGGGAGUGAUUGCUAUGUUUCUCAUAUUCCUUGCUAAUAUCACUAUGCAUGGGCGUAGUCUUGUCUCACAAUGAUUGCUAAGUAUGCUUGCACUAAUUAUGAUAAUGCUAGACUAUAUAGUUGAGAAUAACUUAGGGAAUAUUCUUGUAGUUCGUUCUAAUACCAUGCUAAUGACUUUCUAAAGUAUCUAAUUGAGGUGCUUAUCAUAUUUAUAUGUGGCUAGAUCAGAUUAGUUAUCCUUGUCACUAUUAUUAUUUCAUAUAUCUUUUAUGUGACACUUAUCCCUGUAUGAAGAGUUAGAUAUAAUGUUCUCAAUUAUACAUGCAAUGAUAGAUGCUCAAUCUCAUAUUCUAUUCUGUAAUCAAUAGUGAUGAUUGCUAAUCCCUUCCCAGUGGUAAAAAUAUAAAUAACGAUACCUGGAAUACUUCCCAGUUAAAAUGCUGCAUCGGUAUUAAUCUGUGCGCUUGCAGAUCCUAUUCAUUAUUUAUUUAGAAGAGCAAUUGCAUAUUUCAAUACCGCGUCUCUUAUAUCAUGCUGGGGAUGACAACUUGGCUUAAGUGGUGUGAGGGAUAGGUUUGGCAUUUUUGGCACCAUUACUAGAUUUAGAGAACUUAGUCUACUUUUGGUAAUGAUGUUAUGAAUACCCAACAGUCACAAACUAACACAAGCUUAGGAAACAUAAUUAAGCAAGUUAAAUCACAUUUUUACAUAGAAUGACAUGACUCAAGGUAGAUUAUGAUCAUGAUAUGCUUAAGUCGAUGAUGAUGCUUAUGUUAUGCAUGUGAUUGAUGAAUCCAUAACACUGGGGUGUUACAGCCCUCCCCCCUUACACAAAUCUCGUCCCGAGAUUUGGAAGCUUACUGAUUUUCGAAGAAUGUUUUGUAAACUUCUCUUAAAUAAACCUCUGUUUCCCAAGUGGCAUCUUCCUCCCCGUGGUUACUCCACAACACUUUGUAGAACUUAACCACACGAUUACGAGCCACUCGUUCCUUGCGGUCAAGAACCGCUACAAGUUUCUCCUUGUGCACCAAGUAAGACUUCAACUUGAUAUCCCGAACUUCCACUCGCUCUUCCGGAACACGAAGGCAUUUCUUCAAUUGUGAUACGUGAAAGACAGGAAAAAUAGCUCGAAGUUCAAUUAGGAGUUGAACUUUGUAUGCUACGUUCCCUUUUCUCUCGAGAAUCCGAUAAGGCCCCACGUAACGUGGUGCAAGCUUUCGCUUGACUCCGAACCUUUGUACGCCUUUUAACAGAGAGACCUUGAUAUACACAUGGUCACCGACUGCGAACUCAAUCGGCUUCCUUCUCUUAUCAGCAUAACUUUUCUGACGAGCUUGAGCAGCUUCCAGAUGCUGCUAGAUGGUACGGACUUGCUGCUCUGCUUCGUUCACGAAAUCGAUGCCAUAAUACCUUCGUUCCCUGGAUUCCACCCAAUUCAACGGGGUUCGACACUUUUGACCAUACAGGGCUUCAAAUGGAGCCAUCUUAAUGCUCUCUUGGUAACUAGCUAACGACAACCACUUUACCCAAGAACCUUUUGAGGAGAGAGCACAUGCCCUCAACAUGUCUUCUAGGAUUUGGUUGACCCGUUCAGUUUGGCCGGCCGUUUGGGGAUGAUAUGCCGAACUACGAACCAAGUGAGUACCAUUCUGCUCAUGGAGACACUCCCAAAAAUGGGCAGUGAACUGUGGUCCACGAUCUGAGAUGAUAGUUCGAGGCACACCAUACUGAUGGACAAUGUGCUCGAAGUACAACUCCGCAUACUGAUGUGGACAAUAAUCAGUUCGAACUGGAAUAAAACGAGCAACCUUGGUCAAACGGUCGACAAUUACCCAGAUAGAGUCGUAACCCUUAACAGAAGUUGGGAGCCCAACGAUGAAAUCCAUACUGACUUCUUCCCAUUUCCAACCAGGAAUUGACAAGGGUUGAAGUAAGCCUGCUUUCAUGUGAACCGCCUUCACACGACAACAGUUGUCACAACGAGCGACAAAAGCAGCAAUCUCCUUUUUCAUCUUGGUCCACCAGAAUAGAGGUUUCAGGUCCUGAUACAUCUUGCUACUACUAGGAUGGAUAGACAACUGGGAUGAAUGAGCUUCAGAUAAGAUCUGAUUCUGCAGCUCACGGUCUUUUGGGACCACAAGUCGAUCCUUGAACCAUAGAAUUCCGUUCUCAUCGACCCGGAAAUGCUUGGUUUCUUCUUCUUUUAUUUUCCUCUUUAUAUGGUAGAUGCCUACAUCGGUUUGCUGCAAUUCGAUGACUCGAUUGCGAAGAGAACUUUCCAGAGAAAUCUGGUUGAGCACAAGUGGGUGCAUAAGAUGUGACAAUAAUGGAUCUUCCAUCUGAACUGAAUGACAGUGUGCUUUCCGACUCAAGGCAUCCGCAACUACGUUUGUCUUACCCGGAUGGUAGUGCACUUGAAGAUUAUAGUCUUCAAUCAACUCAAGCCACCGUCGCUGUCGCAUGUUCAAUUCAGGUUGAGUGAAGAUGUACUUGAGACUCUUAUGAUCAGUGUAGAUAUUGCAUAGAUUACCCAAUAAAUAGUGCCUCUAGAUUUUCAAAGCAUGGACAACUGCAGCCAAUUCUACUUCAUGAGUAGGGUAAUUGACCUCAUGCUUUCGAAGUUGGCAUGAGGCAUACGCAAUAACGCGACCUUCUUGCAUCAACACACAGCCUAUGCCGAUACCCGACGUGUCACAAAAGACAUCGAAGGGCUUCUCGAUAUCAGGUUGAGCUAGGACAGGAGCUGAUGUUAGCAAUGUCCUCAACUUAUGGAAUGCCUCUUCACAUUCAGGCGUCCACACAAACUUCUCAUCCUUCUGAAGUAGGCGAGUCAAAGACUUUGAUAUUUUUGAAAAUUCCAGAAUGAAUCGACGAUAAUACCCAGCCAGACCGAGAAAACUCCGAACCUCGUGCACCGAAGUUGGAACCUUCCAAUCCAGCACUUCUUGCACCUUAGCUGGAACCACCGAUAUACCUUCUUCAGAUAAGACAUGGCCCAAGAAAGGUACUUUCUUCAGCCAAAACUCGCAUUUGCUGAACUUAGCAUAAAGCUGAUACUCACGCAAGCGUGACAACACUACACGCAGAUGCUCCGCGUGCUAUCCUUCAUUGCGAGAAUACACUAAGAUGUCAUCAAUGAAGACCACCACAAACUUGUCUAAUUCAGGCAUGAACACCGAAUUCAUGAGAUACAUGAAGUGAGUAGGUGCAUUCGUAAGACUGUUGGGUAUUUUAAACGCAAAUAGAAAAAUCCGCAAGCGCACGGAUAGCCUUCACCCGGGAGUAUUCCAGAGUAUCGAUUUUCGACAAGGAACGUGAGUGUACUAAUUAAGAUCCAAGAUCGCCCAAAGAUAACUAUAUAAUUAUUUUUGGUCGGAAGAGAGGAAGUUUCCUGAGAGUUCUCUAGUUAAUUUAAGAAUAAAAAAUUACUUCAAGAUUAUCUAUUUCGGGACAUCAGAACACUAACCACAGAAAGAGAUGAGAAUGGGGCUAGGAAGCUCUGACUACAGUCCUACAAACACCGAUCCGAACGAGGUGGAAUACGUCGACCGUUAGGGCUGUUACUACCCUAGGGCUACCACAACAAUCCGCAGGAUUGAGUGCAAUUCCAGGUAAUUGCAAGACUAAACACCACGUCUAAUCUAUUAAUUACUACUCUAAUGUUGCAAAGAUUAGAGCACUUGAUGCAAGCGGGAAUCCAAUAAAUAACUUCAAUGUAAAUAAAAGUAAUUAAAGAACUCAGGAUUGAUGAAUUGAAGAACCUGGAGAACGAUGAAGAACGAACCAGUUGCUGCAAAAGUACAAUGUUGAGGAAGAUCUGACAGAUUCGGCUCCUCCUCCUCCGCUCUCCUCUUCUCUCUCCCUAUUUUCUAGAUUACAACUAGAACUAACUAGAACUAGAACUAGAGGAACUAGAACUAGAACUAGAUGAACUAGAACUAGAACUUGAUGAACUAGAGGUAGAACUAGAGGAACUAGAGGGAUCCUCUCUACUUGGAUGAAGAAUUGAAACCCUAGCUUUGAUUCUGUAGAAGAGGUAUGAUCUCCAAGGGACAGGGGCCUUGCUUAUAUAGUCUUUUCAGAUGAAUCUGGGCCGUUGGAUCAAACCGACAUUGAUUGAAUGGUUAUCCUUGAUCCUUUAGGUCGGUGGAGCACGAUCCCGAAAGAGAGUCCUGAUUGGACUCAGAAGGUGGGCGGGCGCCCAGGAGAGUAGGGCAGGCGCCCUGCCUCCGAGCCCGAUCGCCUUCUCGUUCGUUCCCGUGGCUGUUGAUAUUUGGUAACGCAAUUAGAAAAUGAUCUGCAAGCGCACGGAUAUCGGUGAGCAUUUCACCCGGGAGGUUAUCCAGAGUUAUCGUAUUUAUAUUUUUACCACUGGGAGAAAGGGUGCAUCUGACUAACCAAAUCUAUUGCUACUACCCCUUUAGGCUACAAAGAAUGUCUCUCGAUGUGAGUGAUAUAUAGAGAAGACUGCAACCGUAGUCUCGUUCUAACCUUAAUAAGGAUGAUCAACUGUUCUAUUGGGGAGGCUCACAGAAUCUAGACAACACAAAGGAUGUUCGACCCGCACCUAUAAACCUACCCGUCCCGCUAACGAGAUGUGGUCUGCAAAGGUAACUCGGAAAUGUCACGUUCCUCGCUACUACCACGGUCCAGCUAGUCAGGGGAUAUCUAUGAGUACCCUAGCCUAAACACCACAUUUACGCUAACAAGUGAUUACUCUAAUACUCAACCGGAAGAGGAUUAAAGUAAACUCAUAAACCAAAGAACAAUAAAACAAGAACUUACUAGUAUUAGAAGUCGAAUUACUGAAGAAUCUUAGAAGCAAGCCUCGGGUUAGGAGACUUGAUCCCGCAGGUACAACUCGGAGUAGACACCGACAGGUCGGCCUUCCUCCGAUCCACACCUCCACUCUAUCUCUCUCAAUCUAGUAGAAACUAGAAGAUCUAUUUCUACCUUACAUUGGUUGCUAAGCCUAAAAAGAAAUAUUAUUUAGAGAAGAGGUUUUCCUUCGAGGGCACCCCUCAAUCUCUAUGAUAAUUUCUUGUCUCCUCCAGGGCCAGAGGGGGUCUCCUUAUAUAGUCCUCCCUUCUAUGCGUUUUUGGGUCGAUAGGCGAGGUGGUACUAUGUUAUUCUGGAUCCAAUAGGUCGGUGGAACGUCGUGUGCGAAGAGAGUCCGAAACGGAGUCCAGAGGGGGGCGGGCGCCCAGGUCCUCAGGGCGGGCGCCCUGGGCCUGGCCCCUUUCGGGCUCCGCUUCCUUCCCGUGGCUUCUGGAGUCUUCUAGAUGGUAGAAAAUUGCGCGAUGGGUUGAUAUCUCUAUGUAAUCCCAACAUGUGGGCCUUUCUUCCUUAUUUCCUGAUAACCCCCUGUAGAAAUAGACAAACACCAAAACUCGUGGAAUUCUGUCGGAUAAAACCCUAAGUCUAGAUGUUGAUUUCAUUUGGAUCCUUUUCUUUGUUUAUUUGAUAAUUAAAUUUGAUACUUAAGGACCGUCAACAAACUCCCCCAAGCUUACCUCUUGCUCGUCCCUGAGCAAGGAUGAACUCAAGAGUUUCUGCAGUGGUUUCAUUUCUUAGAAGUACACACGCAUUUAAGCAAGAUCUCAUCUCUGAGUUAGAAUAAACUAUUAAGACUUAAAACUUACUUACUUUACCUACACCAUAGGACUUGUAACCGUCACUUCUGUCUUGAGUGGUUAAAAGAUAGAACAGUCUAGCCAAGUGCCAUGUUUCUUAUUCUUGAUCAGCUAUAGCUCUGGGGUUUUUGUAGAUUUUCAAAUAAAACUCAGAAAUUCCUUGUAUGAUUCUCUCAGGUCUCUCUUUUGUGGUAUUUUUGGAUGCUUACCAAGGCAGUAAUGGUAUAUGCCUUCUCUCAAGAUAUGUAGUAUUUGUGGUAUGAAGCAUAGUGACAUUGUCUUCUCUCUCACCCUACUCUAAUAAGGCUUUAAUAUCUGAAGCUCAUAGGUGGGAGAUAAAGUAUACAUACUUACAAGACAUUUAUUGCAUAGUCAAACCAUGGAUCCAAAGAAACAAAUCAAUAAGCCAAAUCAAGAUGUGCAUGUGUGGUGAAUGAAUGGUGUAUGGUGAUGAUGGUGAUAACAAUGGUGGUGGAAGUCUAAUUCUACUUUGCUCUUUGAGGGGAUACAUACCUUCCUUGCUUUUGAAACUUUAUGAGGAGAAUGAGAUGCUCUUCUUUUUCUUUUCUUUCGAGGUUCCGAGCACUUGCUCCUUUUUAUUUCCUCGUAUCUUUUAUUUUCUUUUUCUCUCUUUUUUUUCAGAGCAUUCAUCUCUUGAGAUAAUAUAGCAAGUGGUAGUAACAAGAUAACUUGAGCAUUUUUUUCACAAGGGGAAACAGAAAUAUUUUUGGUUAUUCUCUCCCGGAUUAGGAGUAGAAUACUUUUGGGUGGUUUUGGAGAUGGAAAUGAGUGGAUAUAUGUGGAUGGUAGUUCCGGAGUAGAAGUAGCAUGUAUGAGUGAACGUGCAAGUGAAUCUUGAUUUAACCACAUGACAAGCUCCUAAGGGUCUACACAGCUUGACCACACUCAAUGCUUAUAAGCAGUAAAUAGUAAAUGUGUGGCUCAAGGUCUAGCAAGCAUGUAUAUAUGGUUGUGGUAGGAAUUUAAACUCUCAUCAUACAGGAACUCAUCAUGUGUUAUUUUAAAGAUUUUUCAAAGAUAAAAUUCUCCAGAAUUCUAGCAUCUCUAGGAACAGAUGAACAGCAGCUCAACCUUCCCAUAUCGUAUCCGUUAACAACUUAGACUUCAGAUCAAGUUUUCAUCCCACAAGUUUAGGUCUAGAGCAAGCCUUAAAUUAUAACAGUCAUAUCUAAACUUGAGAGAGAACUUCAAAUUUGCAAAUUAGGCAGAGCAGCUAUUCAUCAUAUCCAUGCUUAAGUUUUAUUAGAUACAGAUUAGCAUAGCCACUUUAUUUAUUUAUUAAACACACUAAGCAAAAUACAUAUAAGCAUAAAAUCUUUAUUUGGUUUUUCAUAGUUAUGUGUAUUUAUAUUCUAAUAUAGUAUAAGUAUAAAGAUAGAUAGAAAUACUUAUCGAGAUAAAUGGGGGUGCUCUCCCCCAAGCUGAAUUUUGACGUAAUUUCUCUUGAUGUAGCUAGCAGGUGGCAGAGGUGUGUUUAAAAGUCAGCAGUAUUUUGACAGCGAUUAGAAUGUCCUCCGUCUGCUAGUCUUCUUGAUUCUUAAAUUCUGUGGAGCUCAAAUAGACAACAAAGCUUGUGGAACUGAUUAAGUGUUAGCAUAAAUAUCUAGCCUUUAUCAUGUUGAGACUCCUUAAUAAAUAUUACUCCCUGUUUUUAUAUUUUUGUUUUUAUAAAGCAGAAAAAUAUUUAUUUUAUUUUUAUGCCACCACAGUGAAUGUACUUAUGGGUUUUAUGCCACUCGUCUACUCACAUGGGGCUUACAGUUUUUUUCACAUUUUUAUUUUCUUUCUAGGAUAAUACGAACAUGAUUAACUAAGUAAACUAUUUGAAAUAAUUAAAAGGGAAAGGAUAAGUUUACCUUUUGGCAAGGCGUUCGGUGUUUUUAAGUCCUCCGAACGGGACUCUCUGUGUUUUCAGUCGUCCUGGGAUUCGCUAGGUGGCGUAGUUGGUGAUUCUGGUGGCGCCUCCUCUUUGUGUAUAACUAUGUUCUCUUUCCACACCUGACUCGGUGCUACGGUCUCCUCAGGACAGUUCUGUUCAAGUUGUAUGUCUUCAGUCCUUAUCACUUCUCCUUCGUAGUCUACCCAUCCAUCCUUGAUGAUUUGCCUCCUCUGGUUGCGGUUGCGUUAUCUUCUUCUUGUCUUGACCUGCUUAGAAUCUUCAACUAUAUAGUUAGGGUCAGUAAAACAGCGGCAUACCUUCUUAGAGGAGAAGUGUAUGUGGACUUCUCCGGUUCCAAUAUAGAUGAUGGCUUUUGAUAGUGCUGAGGAACUGUCUUCCAAGAAUGGUGAGUGGAUCAUACUCGUCUUCUCCCAUGUCAAUGACCUGAAAAUCAUCUGGAGCUGAAUGUAUAUUGGUUGUAGGGGCAUGGUUCCAUGCAGGAGCUGAUAAGUGACUGCGGCCAUUAUGUUGUCGUUAGAUCUGAUGUCGUAGAGUGUCUUCUGAAAGGAGUAUCUGUUGAUUGUGCACUCAAUGCUUGGAACAUCAGGGUCGUCUUUCUUGAUCAGGAAGGGCGACUUGAGUCGAUGAUUUUGACCUCCUCUGAACUGCAGUGACCAUCUUAGCUGACUCGGUCCACAUUUGCUUAUUCCUGUUCCUCCUGUUGGUCCUCUUCCUUGGUUCAUGUCGGGAUUGCUCUGAAAUUUGUGUAGUCUUGUUCUUGAAGGAAAGUCUCCUUCUUCCCCUUGAUGUAGAGACUGAUCUUGGCAGCAUUAGCGUAGAUGACAGCUCUAAUGUUUAGGAAUGGCCUCCCUAAGAUGAUGGGUGCCCUCUCCUCAGUACCAGUCUCUAUCACCAUGAAGUCUGCUAGAGCAUACAAGGUACCAACUCGGACGCAGAGGUUCUUCAAUAUUUCCUCUGGGAAACUGAGUGUCCGAUCUGCAACCCUGGGCAUAAUGUUGACGCUGGAGCCAAAGUCGCAGAGUGCUUCUGGGAAGUCCACCAUGCCGAUGGAGAUCGGGAUGACGGGACGUCCUAGAUCACCUCUCUGAGUAAUUAGGCCUCUGUUGAUUCCAACCUUGAUGUUGUUGAGGAUGGUUGUAGUAAUAGUUGUUAUUGUUGUUGAUGUAGUUCACGUCCUCAAGCAUCUUAGGGCAGUGAUUGCCUGAGCGUCCAGUAUCUCCAGUGUGUUUAUGCUCGUAGAUCCUAGUUCUUCACUUGGUGGAAUCUGGGAGUUGUAAAACUCCUUCAUAUUAUGCUCGAAGUGUUCCUGCUCAUAGAAACAAGGUAGAGAUCAAGUGCAUGGGCCCUGUUGGUGGAAAACACCAACAGAACCAAAAGUGUAUUUGUUCUUCUCUAACCUUAAGCAUAGUGAGCAAGACAAAGUUGAUGGAUCAUGAGUGUAGCAUUUGUCAGAUCAGAUGGCUCAACCUAAUGGAAAGAUAAUCUAUCUAUAUUUAUGUUUUGUUUAUAUCUUCCAAAGAUUGCAUGUGCAAUACUUUAGCUUAUAUGAUUAGGAGUGUGGGGUCACGAAGGUAGUACUAAGAACAAAGAUUAAAGGACUAAACAUGUUGAAUUAAUUGAGUUGGUUAAUUUGGAGUUAUAAAUCAUACAUGUUUGUUUCUUUAUUUAUGUGAAUGCCAGAACCAAGGAGGAGCUUAUAAAAGUGUUAGUCAAGUACCUUAAGAUGUUACCUUACUUGAAGAGUGAUGGUACAGUAUCACCUUGUGGAAGCUUUCCUUUCUUAGCGGUUGUGCAUCGUGUUUGUGGCACCCUCCAUGAAUCAUCUCUUAUGAGCUACGUCUUUCUUGUGCAAAUUGUUAAACUUCAUGUGUCACUUUCUUCAUCUCUAAUGAGUUUGCAUCUCAGGACUUCCCAGGUUGUUAUUGAAAGUUUUCCUACAGGGGUUAGUCCAACAAAAUAUACCAAUAUCUACUCAAGCAGUUUUUAGUUCAGUAACCAAACUAGACUCCAUGUCUAAUCAGAUUAAGGAAGGCUAUUUAACCUAAGCACCACACUUAAUUUAAAUGCCAUUGGAAGUGUGACCAGUACUUCCAAACUAACACUUACUAGGAUAAACAAAGGUAGCAUGAUGAAUUUUAUAGAGAUCUACUCAAGUGGAGAUGAAGUAGUGUGAUUAGUAUUUAACAAAUUGAGCAUGUCUCAAAGGUAAGGAGAACCAACAUAGCAACAUUGCAAAGGAUGUUUUAUGUAAAGUACUCCCCCAAGCUUGAAUUUUGCAAAAUUCAAGAUUGGAUGAAUUUAAUUUAAUGUUGCAUGAUAAUUGGUUGGGCAUACCUUGCGCUUGUCAUUCAUCCGAUCUUCUUGAUCCAAUCCUAGAAAGGUUAGUGGCAAGAAUACCCGAAGGAAUAUUUCUACAAUUAUCUUUAUAUGCUCAAUACACAAGGCAAUGUUGCAAAUAAUUAGAAGUGCUUGUUUUAGGACACUAAGCUUGUCCUUGGGAAACCAUCUAUUAACUCAACGAGAUCUGCAAUAUUUAUUAUAGACAUAUGCAUCGACAACCGCCCUUUUAAAGUUUUUAUAAAUAGAAAAGAAGAGGGGGUUGGAGAUCUCAAAUGUGGUAAGGAUGGAGAGACAAAUUGAUUGGAGAGAUGUUUUAUAUGAGCAAGGACUGGGUGAGGUAUUUAUGAAAUAACUUCCAUGCUCACUGUUGUUUCUCUCAUUCUCAAACUCCAAGGUUGAUUCUUCAUGAAUGUUUAAAAUUCCUCUAGGAUUGUCUCUCAAGUUUGUUUUAUCUAUCCAUUCAGUGGUGAUAGCACAUGGAUUUUUAAUGCCCUCUAGCCAUUGAUGUUGCUCUUCUCGAUCCUCCUUCUUAUGCAUGGGAUGUCUAGAUAGAUUUAUAGGAUUAUCGGGAGGUUCAAGAGAAAUAGCAUAGUAGAGAUUAUUAAGCUCAAGGAUGGGAUGGAUAGCCGAAUCAUGGGAUUGAAAUGUUUGGAAAUCGGCUAUUGAAACUUCCUUUCCUUGUCUGGGAGAUCAUUCCUUCUCUAUCUCUAAGAUUUUUCUAUGAAGAUUAGUGCAAGAAGGAUGUCCACGAAUGAAGACAUACCUUCCUUUACUAAUAGAUAAAGAAAGAAGGCCUCUACUAAAGGUUAUAUGAUUAAGACCAAUAUGAAAAUAUCUAGGAAAAACAUGGUCUUGUAGGGCUAGGUCUAAACCAGAAUUUAUAGAAAGAUUAAUAGAUUCCCUAGGUGUAGCUAAAAGUGCAUUAUCUUUUUGAUUAAAAUAUAGGACCUCGGCUAUAGAAAAGGGUUCGUUUUGACCUAUUGCAAUCAACUCCGGACACAGAUCAUAAUUAGGGGCAGGACGUGUUGACUCCCAUGGUCUAUGGCUGGUCUCCGAAGGUGCAAAGAAUUCAAUAAUAGUUAUGGAAUUUGAGUUAUCCACAAAAAUAAAAAGUAUAAAAGUAUAAUACAAGAUAAUAGCAAGACUCAAAGUUAUCUCAGCAAACCGUCUUUCUCCCCGGCAACGGCGCCAGAAAUGCUUGUUGAUAUUUGGUAACGCAAUUAGAAAAUGAUCCGCAAGCGCACGGAUAUCGGUGAGCAUUUCACCCGGGAGGUUAUCCAGAGUUAUCGUAUUUAUAUUUUUACCACCGGGAGAAAGGGUGCAUCUGACUAACCAAAUCUAUUGCUACUACCCCUUUAGGCUACAAAGAAUGUCUCUCGAUGUGAGUGAUAUAUAGAGAAGACUGCAACCGUAGUCUCGUUCUAACCUUAAUAAGGAUGAUCUACUGUUCUAUUGGGGAGGCUCACGGAAUCUAGACAACACAAAGGAUGUUCGACCCGCACCUAUAAACCUACCCGUCCUGCUAACGAGAUGUGGUCUGCAAAGGUAACUCGGAAAUGUCACGUUCCUCGCUACUACCACGGUCCAGCUAGUCAGGGGAUAUCUAUGAGUACCCUAGCCUAAGCACCACGUUUACGCUAACAAGUGAUUACUCUAAUACUCAACCGGAAGAGGAUUAAAGUAAACUCACAAACCAAAGAACAAUAAAACAAGAACUUACUAGUAUUAGAAGUCGAAUUACUGAAGAAUCUUAGAAGCAAGCCUCGGGUUAGGAGACUUGAUCCCGCAGGUACAACUCGGAGUAGACACCGACAGGCCGGCCUUCCUCCGAUCCACACCUCCACUCUAUCUCUCUCAAUCUAGUAGAAACUAGAAGAUCUAUUUCUACCUUACAUUGGUUGCUAAGCCUAAAAAGAAAUAUUAUUUAGAGAAGAGGUUUUCCUUCGAGGGCACCCCUCAAUCUCUAUGAUAAUUUCUUGUCUCCUCCAGGGCCAGAGGGGGUCUCCUUAUAUAGUCCUCCCCUUCUAUGCGUUUUUGGGUCGAUAGGCGAGGUGGUACUAUGUUAUUCUGGAUCCAAUAGGUCGGUGGAACGUCGUGUGCGAAGAGAGUCCGGAACGGAGUCCGAGGGGGGCGGGCGCCCAGGUCCUCAGGGCGGGCGCCUUGGGCCUGGCCCCUUUCGGGCUCCGCUUCCUUCCCGUGGCUUCUGGAGUCUUCUAGAUGGUAGAAAAUUACGCGAUGGGUUGAUAUCUCUAUGUAAUCCCGACAUGUGGGCCUUUCUUCCUUAUUUCCUGAUAACCCCCUGUAGAAAUAGACAAACACCAAAACUCGUGGAAUUCUGUCAGAUAAAACCCUAAGUCUAGAUGUUGAUUUCAUUUGGAUCCUUUUCUUUGUUUAUUUGAUAAUUAAAUUUGAUACUUAAGGACCGUCAACAGUGGCUUCUGGAGUCUUCUAGAUGGUAGAAAAUUGCACGGCACGUUAAUAUCUCUAGGUAAUCCCGACGUGUGGGCCUUUCUUCCGUAUUUCCUGAUAACCCCCUGCAGAAAUAGACAAACACCAAAACUCGUGGAAUUAUGUCAGAUAAAACCCUAAGUCUAGGUGUUGGUUGCAUAUAAGUCCUUUUCCAAGAUUAGUUGAUGGUUAAAUGUGAGCGUUAAGGACCGUCAACAAGCUCCCCCAAGCUUAACCUUUGCUCGUCCCUGAGCAAAGCUAAAAUCUGCAAGAAAACCGGGGUUACUUUUAUGCCUCUACUACAGGGUUUUUAAGUUAUCACUAAGGUCUUAAGUGAUUGAAAAACAGAACGAUCAAGUCAAGCAUUAUGUCUCAAGUUCUUCUGUCUUACCUUUGUUCUGGAGUUUUUUUUUUAAAUCUGCAAAAUAAAACUAAGGUAUUUGCCUUCUUCUCAAAAGAUAUAUAAGUAGAGCCUUAAAAGUUUUAGCAUACUUACUUUGCAUUUUGCAAUGUCAAUGCUCGGAGCAAGGGAGAGGAAUGUCAUACUCCUAGAUCAAGACCUUUGACCUUUUUGAAAAGUUUGUCAUCUCUUACUGGCAUAUUGCUUAUUAGAGGGACCAUGGGCUAUCAUUUUUUCUUUUUUUUCAGUCUCUCUCUUUUUUUUCUUUUUUUCAAGUGGGCACCAAGUACCCCUAAUUCUACUGUCGGACACGUGUCCAUUUUUAUCCACUCAGGUGGGUAUCUUUGUACCCCUAAUUCUACUUCGGACACUUGUCCAUUUUUACCUCUCGUCUCACUCUUUUUUUCAAAUCAAAUUUUUGCAUAGUCCCAUGCCUCUAACGUAAUAAUACUUCGGAAGAGUGAAUCUUUUAUAUUUUUAGAACAAAAAGAUCUUGAUCUUUAGGGCAUGAUAAUUCUCUCAACCAAAACUACAAGAAUUAACAAUGGAUUGAACAAAGCAAGUGCCCAUAGUUUUAAUAUUUAUAUCUUAUAAGACUCUAGGUAUUAUGCCAAACUAGAUCUCAUCAUUUUUUCUUUGAAUUUUUAGAUUUUCCAAAGAUAAAAUCUCCAGAACUCUAGCAAAACUUGGAACAAGUUAAAUAGUAGUUCAGACCUUCUCAUAUCAUGUUUGUCAAUUACCUAGACUUGGAUCAAACUUUCUUUUUAUUUUAUUUAAAACUUAGGAUUACCCAAAACUAUUGUUUAUUACUCAAAAGAAAAACUUUGUUUGGUUUCAUGGUUAUGCAUUUUUUUUAUUUAUUUCUGAAUACUAGUAAAUAAAACCAAGAAAGAAAAGUAAUACUUAUCUAGAUACACGUGGGAGUGCCUCCCCCAAGCUGGAUGUUGACAUAGUCGUUCACUCUUGUGGCCUGCAUGUUCGGUCUCACUCUCAAAAUCCUGCACAACCCAAAUAGACAACAAAAAUUGUGGAGCAUGUUAAGGGUUAGGUAAUUGUCUAGAGCUUAUGAGAGCUUAAUGUGAGAAUUCUAUGAACUCAAUCACAUCAAGUUCCUCUACCAGGUUGUUUUGUGGCUCGAGAUAGAUUUUCAAGCGUUGACCAUUUACCUUAAAAGUGUUACCUAUGUCGUCUUGGAUGGUAAUGGCUCCAUGAGUUGAAGUGUCAAUAACCUUGUAUGGUCCAUCCCACUUACUUCGUAGCUUACCAUGCCCAAAGAGCUUAACUCUUGAAUUGAAUAGUAGAACCUUAUCUCCAGGCUUAAACUCCUUGUGCUUGAUUCUCUUGUCAUGCCAUCGUUUUGUUCUCUCUUUAUAGAUCCUUGAAUUGUGGUAGGCUUUCUCUCUCUAUUCUUCUAGCUCAGAUAGUUGCUUCAGACAAUUCUCACUAGCGAGGUGGAGAUCCAUGUUCCAUUUCUUGAGUGCCCAAUGAGCCUUAAACUCUACUUCCACAGGCAAAUGACAAGUUUUUCCAUAUACAAGUUGAUAAGGUUACAUGCCUAUGGGUGUUUUGAAUGCAGUUCUAUAUGCCCAAAGUGCAUCAGGAAGUUUGUCCUUCCACCCCUUACCCAUCUCAUCUACGGUCUUUUGUAAAAUAUUUUUGAUUUGUUUGUUAGAUGUUUCGACUUGACCGCUAGUCUGAGGAUGGUAUGGUGUUGCAACGUUGUGUCGAACUCCAUGAUCGGCUAGGUACUUCCGGAACAUUUUGUCGAUGAAAUGGGAACCUCCAUCGCUUAUAACUACCCGGGGUAUACCAAAGCGAGGAAAGAUUACUUCAUGGAACAUUCUCUUGGCAUGUUUUGAUUCAGCUGAUCGACAAGGUAGGGCUUCUACCCAUUUGGACACAUAGUCCACAGCUACUAAGAUAUACUCGCAAUUCCUGGACAUAGGGAAUGGCCCCAUGAAAUCAAUGCCCCAUACAUCGAAAAGUUCUACUUGAAGAUUAUUUGUGAGAGGCAUUUCAUUUCGUGAGUUGAUAUUCCCAUGUUUUUGACAUCGGUGGCAUCUCCUGACAAAGUCCUUUGUAUCUUCAUACAUCGUUUGCUAGAAAAAGCCACUUUGCCAAAUUUUAGCAUGUGUCCGGAAUGCUCCAUAGUGACCUCCAUAUGGCGAGGCACGGCAUCUUUCCAUAAUUUGAGUAGCCUCAGCCAUAGGAACACACCUUCUCAAGAGUCCAUCAGCGCAGACUUGGAAAAGAUAUGGCUCAUCCCAAAGGUGGAAACGAGUAUCGUGAAGCAACUUCCUUUUGUUUGCACCAGGUGGGACAUAGACUUUUACUAUAAAGUUUACUAUGUCUGCGUACCAUGGAUCUACAUGUGUUAUCUUAAGUAGAGUGUCAUCCCUUAGGUAGUCAUUUAUAGGAAGCUCAUCAUGUGUUUCCUUAUAUUGAAGCCUAGACAAGUGGUCGGCUACGGAAUUCUCAACUCCCUUCCUAUCUCGGAUUUCUAUGUCAAUGUCUUGGAGUAGAAGAAUCCAUCAAAUUAGACGAGGCUUAGCAGGUACUUGAGAGCAGCAUGGUCUGAAUAGAUGAUUAUCUUUGCCCCCACUAAGUAAGAUCUAAACUUGUCUAUAGCAAAGACAACAGCCAAAAGCUCUUUUUCAGUUGUAGUGUAAUUGAGCUGUGGUCCAGACAAGGUUUUGCUAGCGUAGGAUAUGGCAUAAUGCUUUUUAUCCUUGGUUUGUCCUAAAACGGCACCAACCGCAAAAUCGCUAGCAUCACACAUGAUCUCAAAAGGAAGAUUCCAAUCAGGUGGUUGAAUGAUUGGGGCUGAGAUGAGUGCUUUCUUAAGAGUUUGAAAAGAUUCAUGACACUCAUCACUAAAGAUGAAAGGUGCAUCCUUAGUUAAGAGACUAGUUAGGGGUCUAGCAAUUUGAGAGAAGUUCUUGAUAAAGCGUCUAUAGAACCCUGCAUGUCCCAAAAAGCUACGGAUUCCUUUGACAUUCGUGGGAGGUGGAAGUUUUUCAAUAACUUCAAUCUUUGCUUUGUCCACCUCUAUACCAUGUUCGGACACUUUAUGUUCUAGCACUACUCCUUCCUGAACCAUAAAAUGGCAUUUCUCCCAGUUCAGGAUUAAGUGCUUUUCUUCACAUCGCUGCAAGACUCUAUCAAAAUUCUCCAAACAAUGAUCGAAGGUUUUUCCAUAGAUGGUAAAAUCAUCCAUGAAAACCUCCAUGAUCUUCUCAAUCAUGUCCGAGAAAAUAGACAUCAUACACCGUUGGAAAGAAGCUGGAGCAUUGCACAAUCCGAACGACAUUCGUCGGUAUGCAUAAGUUCCAUACGGGCAUGUAAAGGUAGUCUUUUCUUGGUCAUCUGGGUGGAUUGGGAUUUGGUGAUAUCCAGAAUAACCAUCAAGGAAACAAAUGAAAGAGUGGUUUGCAAGCCGUUCCAACAUUUCAUCAAUGAAGGGUAACGGAAAGUGAUCUUUCUUUGUAGCCUUAUUGAGUUUUCGAUAGUCAAUACACAUACGCCACCCAGUGACAAUUCGUUGAGGGAUGAGUUCAUUCUUCUCAUUCCUAACGACCGUCAUUCCUCCUUUCUUUGGCACUACUUGGACAGGGCUAACCCACUCACUAUGUGGCACAGAAUAAAUAAUCCCAAUAUUAUAGAGUUUGAGGACCUCUUUCUUUCUUAACAACCUCUCGCAUAGCAUUGUUAAGUCUCCGUUGUGGUUCCCUUGAAGGUGUAACAUUGGGAUCAAUAGGGAUACGGUGAGUGCAGAGAAUGGGACUAAUGCCCGUGAGAUCUUCGAGAGAGUAUCCAAAUGCUGAUCUAUGCCUUUCAAGAACAGUGACAAGUUGUUGUGUUUCAUAAUCGGAAAGCUUGUCACUGAUAAUUAUUGGAGUUUUUGGGUUGUUCCGCAGAAAGACAUAUCUAAGGCCAGAAGGAAGAGGUUUUAACUCUAUCAAAGGAGGUGAAGGUUGUUCAUUUUUGUCUAGCUCAACGGGUUCUACCAACUCUUCUUCUUCUUGAACAAAGUGUUCAUGAUUAAAGAAUGGUUGGGCCAUCUCCUCUUGAGUCAGCAUUAAGAUCUCCUCAAUAGGAUCUGGUUCAAGUUUGGGUUCCACUAUCGUGUUAAUUGAUCUAACGAGAGGAACAACAAUAGUGGAAUUCCCAACCUUGAAGUCUAAAUGACCUCGUUGUGGUUGUUCUUGUAGAAAUUUCAUGAUUGGUCUGCCAAUCAAGAGAGGAAUCUCCGGCAUGUCAAAAAUGUGAAAAUCUAGACAUAUUCCAGAGUCCUUGAUUCUAACAGGAACUGCCCGUAAUACCCCAUGGCUUUCUAGAAUUAAUCUAGAUGGACUUUGUAAAAGUUUUUGAGAUGGGGUUAUGGACUCGUUGGGAUAAAGAGUGUCAGCUAACUCCUUGGAAAUAACAUUUAUCCCAACAUAUGGAUUGUAGUGGACCUUCCUAGCGGACCUUCUAAUUUGGCAUAGAAGAAUGGUUGAAGGAGUGAUGAUCCGAGCUACCUCAGGAGACAGCUCUGCUUCUGUUAGCCAUUCGUAACUCAGAAUAGCUGAAAGGCUUUUAAUGUGUUCUAUGUUAACAUAUUCUACUCUUAGAAUGGAUUGAGUGGUCCUUGCUAGAGGUUGUGUUUGGAUAGGAAAAUUCGUGGUGUUUCCAUAAUCUUCAAAAAGAUCUUCCUCGAAUUCAAAGGGAUGCUCUAAAGGUGGUGGUUCAUCAGCCCUUAAUUGGUUUUGCAUUCCCUUAUCAGGAGGUUUCUCUACAAUCAAAUUACUAGAUGGGUCAGGUGGAAUUUCUAACUCGGUUGCAAGUUCCUCAUCUUUUGGUUUAGGAUCAGGCUCGACUUCUUUUUCUUCUUCAGGAAACUCAUCAUAAAUGCCUGUGUAAGGGGUAUUUUCAAGGAUUCUCUCUAGGAUAGCUCUCGCCUCAUCUGUGAGUUUGUGUGUGAAUGAGCCUCCUGAAGCAAUGUCGAGGUGAAGAGCAGCUUCCUUGUUUAGACCACGAUAAAAGUGGUAGUAUAGUACAUGGUUAGGUAGGGAAAGGUUUGGACCAGAAUUGGUAAGGCUUUUGAACCUAGCCCAAGCUGCUCCUAAAUUUUCCUUCUCUCUUUGUUUGAAUGUAAGAAUUUCGAUUCUAAGGUCAGCGAUUCGAAAAAGUGGGAAGAAAGCGAGACAAAAGUUGUCCCGAAGUUCAUCCCAAUUUCCAUUAACGACUCCUACAGAAUGAGCAUACCACUUUUUUGCUCUUCCCAAAAGGGAGAACAAAAAUAAUUUCCAUUUAAGGGUUUCUUGUGUCAUGCCAGAAAUAGAUCGGCAAGAGCACAACUGCUCGAAUUCUCUAAGGUGGGUGUAUGGAUCUUCAUCUACUUGCCUAGAGAAGGGUUGCUCCUGAAUCAUGGCUAUUAGAUCAGGGCCAAGGUCGUAGCCAUCUGUAAGAAUUGGAUGUGAUGAUGGUGGUGGCUCUAAUAACUCGCCCUUUGGAGCAAAGAAUUUAUAGAUAGGAGUGAAAUCCAUGUGGUAUGGUGAAAAUGGUAAGGUGAGUGUGGUAAAAAGGGAAAAGAAAAAGGAUACACGAACGACUUGGUUCGAAACUAGCACAGCUACCGUUCCCCGGCAACGGCGCCAGAAAGCUUGUUGGGUAUUUUAAACGCAAACAGAAAAAUCCGCAAGCGCACGGAUACCGAUGUAGCCUUCACCCGGGAGUAUUCCAGAGUAUCGAUUUUCGACAAGGAACGUGAGUGUACUAAUUAAGAUCCAAGAUCGCCCAAGGAUAACUAUAUAAUUAUUUUUGGUGGGAAGAGAGGAAGUUUCCUGAGAGUUCUCUAGUUAAUCUAAGAAUAAAAAAUUACUUCAAGAUUAUCUAUUUCGGGAUAUCAGAAAACUAACCACAGAAAGAGAUGAGAUGGGGGCUAGGAAGCUCUGACUACGGUCCUACAAACACCGAUCCGAAUGAGGUGGAAUACGUCGACCGUUAGGGCUAUCACUACCCUAGGGCUACCACAACAAUCCACAGGAUUGGGUGCAAUUCUAGGUAAUUGCAAGACUAAACACCACGUCUAAUCUAUUAAUUACUACUCUAAUGUUGCAAAGAUUAGAGCACUUGAUGCAAGCGGGAAUCUAAUAAAUAACUUGAAUGUAAAUAAAAGUAAUUAAAGAACUCAGGAAUUAUGAAUUGAAGAACCUGGAGAACGAUGAAGAACGAACCAGUAGCUGCAAAAGUACAAUGUUGAGGAAUAUCCGACAGAUCCGGCUCCUCCUCCCCCGCUCUCCUCUUCUCUCUUCCUAUUUUCUAGAUUACAACUAGAACUAACUAGAACUAGAACUAGAGGAACUAGAACUAGAACUAGAUGAACUAGAACUAGAACUUGAUGAACUAGAGGUAGAACUAGAAGAACUAGAGGGAUCCUCUCUACUUGGAUGAAGAAUUGAAACCCUAGCUUUGAUUCUGUAGAAGAGGUAUGAUCUCCAGGGGCCAGGGGCCUUGCUUAUAUAGUCUUUUCAGAUGAAUCUGGGCCGUUGGAUCAAACCGAUAUUGAUUGAACGGUUAUCCUUGAUCCUUUAUGUCGGUGGAGCACGAUCCUGAAAGAGAGUCCUGAUUGGACUCAGAAGGUGGUUGGCGCCCAGAAGAGUAGGGCGGGCGCCCUGCCUCCGAGCCCAAUCGCCUUCCCGUUCGUUCCCGUGGCUUCUGGAGUCUUCUAGAUGGUAGAAAAUUGCGCGGCACGUUAAUAUCUCUAUGUAACCCCGACGUGUGGGCCUUUCUUCCGUAUUUCCUGAUAACCCCCUGUAGAAAUAGACAAACACCAAAACUCGUGGAAUUCUGUCAGAUAAAACCCUAAGUCUAGGUGUUGGUUGCAUAUAUGUCCUUUUCCAUGAUUAGUUGACGGUUUAAUGUGAGCGUUAAGGACCAUCAACAAAGACCGAAGGACAUGACGAGAUAUUCAUACAACCCAUACCUUGUCGAGAAAGCUGUCUUAGGUACAUCUUCAGGACGGAUCUUGAUCUGAUGAUACCCAGAUCGCAAAUCAAUCUUGGAGAAUACUUUGGCUUUAGACAACUGGUCAAACAGGAUACCAAUGCGUGGAAGAGGGUACUUAUUCUUGAUGGUCACUGCAUUCAGGGUACGAUAGUCCACACACAUGCGCAAGGACUGAUCCUUCUUCUUCACAAAGAUAGCCAGACAACCCCAAGGAGAAGAACUAGGACGGAUAAGACCCUUCUUUAACAACUCAUUCAGUUGGGUCUUAAGCUUAGCUAGCUCAUUUGGUGGCAUUCUAUAAGGUCUUCUAGAGAUAGGAGCAGUACCUAGAAGCAAUUCAAUUUUGAACUCCACAUCCUGAUCUAGAGGAAGCCCGGGCAAAUCACCAGGGAAUACAUCCAGGAACUCACACACGACCAGAAUAUCCUCAAUGGCCCUAGAUGUAACUGCAUUCAUCGUGCUAUGGAUAUGAAUAUCUCGAGGAAGUUGCACUAAGAAUGCCUCUUUGUUAUUCGGGUCUCUCAACAUCACUACACGAGUGGUGGUGUCGAUAAGAACUCCAUUGCCACUCAUCCACUUCAUACCCAGAAUUACAUCUAUACCCACACCGGGUAGAACAACCAGAUCAGUAAGAAACUGACGGUCUCCUAUUUCCAGAGUUGCCCCCAAAACCACUUGGUUGGUAGAAAUAUCAUUUCCAGUAGCACUAAUGCAAUAACUGCCCUUAUCAAGUGUAAUUGCCUUGAGAUUAUGCUUAGACACAAAGUCCGAACUCACAAAAGAAUGCGAUGCUCCUGAAUCAAAAAGCACAAGUGUAUCACAUUGAUUGAACAGAAACUUACCAGCCGUAACUACCUCACCAGCAGGGAUGGCUUCCACAGUUGUAUAGUGAACACGCCCCUGGCGGACGUUCCCUUGGUUGCCCUUCUUUGGCGGGUAAGGAUAGUUGCUUUGCCAGUGCCUGGUCUAAUUACAGUUCUAGCAUGGACGGUUGGCAGGUGGAGUCUUGGCAUAGCUAGGACUGGUGUUGCCCCUAGGAAGAGCAAUAGAGUAACCCUUGCGGAAACCCGUCUUCGCCUAAUUCUUCUUCACUGGAGGGCGAUAUCGCUGGUUAGGAGUUGGAGCAUGAUACUGGGGCCUAGCUGCCACUGGAGCUUUGGACUGAGAUGCCCCUUCCUCAGCCUCAAAAGCCCUCUUGCGAGUCUUGGUCGUAGUGUACACAGUGUUAUAAUUCUCUUGGGUAAGAGCAUCACUGACAAACUCAUUGAAAGUUGCACACUUAGUGCGGCCCAUAGUCUUCAGCAACUUGGGGCCAAGACCCCGCUUGAAGCUAGCAAUCUUUUUCGCCUCAGUGCUCACAAACUCAGGAGCAUGCCUAGAUAGAUGAUUGAAAGCAUGCAAAUACUCCUUCAAAGUUUUGUUUCCCUGAGUUAUUUUCAUGAACUCAAUAUGCUUCAUUUCCAUGACACCAGGAGGUAUGAAAUGCCCCUUGAAAGCUUCAUGGAAGAGAUUCCAGUCAAGCACAGUAUUGUCCGCGAGAGCCUCCCGAUACUGAUUCCACCAUAUGCCUGCCGGUCCCUGCAGUUGGUGAGCUGCAUACUCAACCUUCAAACCCUCGGUCAGCCGAAGCAAGCGGAACUUUUGUUCCACCAUGUUCAGCCACUCCUCAGCUUGAAGGGGUUCUUCAGCCUCUCUGAAAGAUGGGGGCUUAGUAUCCAUGAAAUCCUUGAAGCAACUGUACUGAUUAGGUGCUGGCCCAUCCGGUGCAUUCCGACCACCCUGGUUUGCCAUCUAGUUGAUGGUUUCAGUGAGCAUCCUCUGAUUUUCCACCAUCAUUUGCAUCAGUUCAGCUGGAUUUGGUGGUGGAGGAGGAGGGGGCGGGUUCAUGUUCGCACGUUGUUUCGCACCUCGAGUGCCAUGAGACAUCUGUAAAGACAUAGUCAGUGAGCAUUGAUGAUGACAAGAUUUGCCGUAGAAGAACUUAUAUUCAUGCCUAAAAGUAUUCGAAAGAAUAACUUUACAGAAAAUGGCACAAUAAUUCAAUUCCACAAAACAACAUCACCAAUUCAACACAUGACACAGAUAUCCGCAAGAUGCACAAUAACGAAAACAUCGUCAUAACCGAUUGAACAUGACAGAGAUAACAACAUGGGGUCCAAAAGUCAUUACACCAUCACAGCACAGAUCAUAAGUCAAAGAUCAUGAUUCCGAAUUACAACAUGAUUACAAAAGUACAACUGCUGACAGUCAUACUACAAAAGAUCCUCACAGGAUAACUACCAACUACCCACUACACCCAGGCUCCUCGUCCGAGUCAGCGUCGAAGAUCGCCUCUCCAUCCUCAUUGCUAACCGGCUCAAGCUCCUCGUCCUCCACAUCCUCGUGCAGAGGUCGUGCAGCCGCGACUGGUCCAUCUACCUCCAUACCAUCAUCAUCGGCCACGAUCACCUGAGGUCCCACCUCUGGAUAUGCUGGUGCAGGGCGAGCAAUAGGGUGUAGUAAGUUGUUGAGAUGGUGAAUCUCCACAAGACCAGCCUCAAUCUGAUCCUGCAGAUAGUUCUCCCGCUCAAGCGACUGGAUCUGGUGCAUCUCCCAAGCCCGACGCAUGUUCUCCGACACGCGGAGUGCAGUAUCCCUCUCACGAGUGAUCUGCACCAAGCGAUCCUGCACUGUCUCCCUCUCCCUAGCCAAUUGACUCAUCUGAUCCUAUUUGUGAUCUCUCUCUCUAAUGGCCUUCACCCACUGCUGCCAACGGUACUCCGCAAUGUCUUCCCAGUCAUUGCGGUCCUUCUGAGCUUGCUCCAGGAGUCUACCUUGCUUGCGAAACUUGCGGGCAUGCUUUUCAGCCUUCUGUUGCAUCUCCUGAGCCUGGCGAACAGCCACCAUCACCUGGGCAUAGGUGUCCUCUCGCUGACUGAACAGCUUGAGCACAGCCAUCAUAGCACUGAUAGCAGGGCUAAAACUCUCAGCUUGCUCUCCUCAGCCUUGGACCAACGCACAACCAUCAGCCAACUUCCACUCCGCUGCUGCUGGGUCAACACGGGGAAUGGAGGCCGCUGGUCCUCCUGUUAGCUCAUAGCCAAACCUCUGACAGAUGUUGAGCAGCAUAGCAUGGGCUGCAGCUUGAGCUGCUUCCCAUGGUGUCUGCCCAUCUGAGUUACAGGUCCACCCCGUCCAUGUAGGCCUGCCCCCAUGUGGAGGGACAACUCCCUGCACAGCAAACCACUGCAACUCUCCUGUCAUAUCCACCUCCCACCAGGAAUACUGAGGUGGCUCAGUAUACCCUACAGACUGUAGUACCCUCUAGAGCAAAGUAGGAGUGCCAAACUCACUCAAAAAGGUAUCACUGGGGCGAGGUGAAGCGGGCACAUCCAUCUUUGUAAAGGAAUAACCGUGGGUAAGAGAGGAUUAAUUUAAGCAACAUUUAUUUAAUUUAAAAGGAACGAUAUUGUAGGGGAAGGAGUAGACAGAAUGUAUGUAUGAAUGUGAUAUGAUGCAUGCACGAACCGUACGUCCUCACAAACUUAGAAGAUUAAUAUUCUAACGGAUAUACGGUGGCAUGUGUUGACGGUCCUUAAGUAUCAAAUUUAAUUAUCAAAUAAAUAAAGAAAAGGAUCUAAAUGAAAUCAACAUCCCGACUUAGGGUUUUAUCUGACAGAAUUCCACGAGUUUUGGUGUUUGUCUAUUUCUGCAGGGGGUUAUCAGGAAAUAUGGAAGAAAGGCCCACAUGUCGAGAUUACGUAAAGAUAUUAACGUGCUGCGCAAUUAUCUUACAUCUAGAAGACUCCAGAAGCCACGAGACCGAAGCGGAGGCGAAACGGGGCCUGACCCUGGGCGGCCGCCCAGUUGGUCAGGGCGCCCGCCCUGCCCCUGAGUCCAAUCAGGACUCUGCUUUGCGGGAGAUCUCCACCGACCUAAAGGAUGAAUCUAAACCAUACAAUCUAUGUCGGUUUGAUCCAAUGGCCCAUAUUCACUUGGAGGGACUAUAAAACCAGACCCCCUGGCCCCUGGAGGAGAGAGCCUCUCAACCCUAAUUCAUUGUUCCAUCAAGGGAGAAGAAGCCUCUAAUCAAGAUUAGAGCCACCACAUCAAUUAGACAUCUAGAUUAGCAUAGCUACAUAGGAUUAGAACUAGAAGGAGUCAAUCUUCGAUUGGUUUCCGGAUCUGUCAGGAGGAUUCUUGGCAAUUCUCUAAUUGUGCUUCUAAUUGCUUUCUAAUUAUCUUUGUUCUUCAAUAUUAUGAAUAUGACUUUGUUCUACUUCAAUAUAUUGCUUAUGACUUUGCUCUACUUGCUUAUAUUCAAGAUUAUAUUGUUCUUAGUUUAUCAUAGUUAUGUACUUGGCUUAGUUAGAUUAGAUCUAUAUACAUGCUUAGGAUCGUAUAGCGUUUAUCCAUCGGAUCCAUGGGUAAAUGAUAGAUAUUGUGUAGGCGUGGUGCUUAUAUCGUAUUUAUCUGCGAUUGUACCCAAUAUGCCAGAUCGUGGGGUGGUUCGUGAUAGUGACAGCUUCAUUGAUUCUUAUAUAGUCCCCCUCUCAUGUAUUGGGCUGGCAGAGCAACAUUAUUACAGGGGAGUGAUUGCUAUGUUUCUCAUAUUCCUUGCUAAUAUCACUAUGCAUGGGCGUAGUCUUGUCUCACAAUGAUUGCUAAGUGUGCUUGCACUAAUUAUGAUAAUGCUAGACUAUAUAGUUGAGAAUAACUUAGGGAAUAUUCUUGUAGUUCGUUCUAAUACCAUGCUAAUGACUUUCUAGAGUGUCUAAUUGAGGUGCUUAUCAUAUUUAUUAUGUGGCUAGAUCAGAUUAGUUAUCCUUGUCACUAUUAUUAUUUCAUAUAUCUUUUAUGUGACACUUAUCCUUGUAUGAGAAGUUAGAUAUAAUGUUCUCAAUUAUACAUGCAAUGAUAGAUGCUCAAUCUCAUAUUCUAUUCUGUAAUCAAUAGUGAUGAUUGCUAAUCCCUUCCCAGUGGUAAAAAUAUAAAUAACGAUACCUGGAAUACUUCCCGGUUAAAAUGCUACAUCGGUAUUAAUCUGUGCGCUUGCAGAUCCCAUUCAUUAUUUAUUUAGAAGAGCAAUUGCAUAUUUCAAUACCGCGUCUCUCAUAUCAUGCUGGGGAUGACAACUUGGCUUAAGUGGUGUGAGGGAUAGGUUUGGCAUUUUUGGCACCGUUACUAGAUUUAGAGAACUUAGUCUACUUUUGGUAAUGAUGUUAAGAAUACCCAACAAGCAUUUUUUGCGCCGUUGCCGGGGAAGGUUGAUUACCAAUCAGGAAUGGAAUAAAAGAUUUUGAGUUAUCAUUCGCAUCACUAAUAUGAUUGAGCUUAUCUAUUCUCUCAUACAGUUUUACCCCGAUAUUUUUCUAUUUUAUCUUAUGUAGGGGAAUGAAUGAAUAGAAGACAUCUUCCAGGAAAUUUUGUUGACAAUCCUGAAGCAUUAUUCAAGAAGACGAGAGCCAAGCUAAAGAAAUCAUCAACACUUCAACAAGAAGCUUCAUCCAAUCAAGAAGAUCACCGGAACUUGUUUUCAGAGUUCGAAGCCAUGGCGAACAAAUCAAUCCGCGAGUUCUCAGCUCCCACUACGGACAACAUCCGCACUGGACCUGCUGCAGAGAUCGACAGCAACUUUGAGCUCAAGCCUGGACUUAUCAACAUGGUGCAAUCCAACCAGUUCUGUGGGAAGGCACACGAAGAUGCUAGUGCUCAUUUACAACACUUCCUGGAGAUUUGCAACACAUUCACCAUAGCAGGAGUUUCCAAAGACGCUAUACUACUUCGCCUCUUCCCAUUCUCACUGUUAGGAAGAGCGAAGCAGUGGUUCUACGCUACAAAGGAGAAGAAUACUACGUGGGCACUCUGCUCAACAAACUUCCUGGCUAAGUUCUUUCCCAUGGGCAAGACCAAUGCUCUCCGUGGGAAGAUUACAAGUUUUCAGCAACAAAAUGAUGAAUCUGUUCCAGAAGCAUGGGAGCGCUUUCAAGACUACAUCCUAGAAUGUCCCCAUCAUGGAAUGGAGAGUUGGUUAUUGAUGCAGACAUUCUAUCAUGGGCUCAGCAACAGUGCCCGAGAGAACAUGGAUGCUGCAGCUGGAGGAGCAUUCUUAUCACUUACUAUACCACAAGCCACAGCUCUUGUGGAGAAGAUGGCGUCCAACCAAAGCUGGAAUGAAGAGAGGACCCAGACACGCAAGAGAGGUGGAGGUAUACAUCAGCUGAAAGAGGUAGACAUGCUGUCUGCAAAGCGAGACCUGCUCAUGAAGAAGCUCUACGAUAGAGCUGGAGACAAGAAAGAAGUUAUGCACAUCUACGACUCUCACAUGACUUGUGAGGAGUGUGGAGACACUGGACACUCAGGCAACCACUGCCCUGAGAUACUUGAGGAUGUGAACUACAUCAUCAACAACAACAACUACUACUACAACCGUCCUCAACAAAAUCAAGGUUGGAAUCAACAGAGGCCUAACUACUCAGGUAAUUAUCAAGGUAACAAUUCUUACAACAACAAUAAUAAUAAUUUUCCACCUUUGAGAGAGUUAGUGUCUAAUCAAGGAAAGCUAAUGGAUAAUCUAUCUAAGAAAUUGGCAUCUAAUGAUAAAAUGCUAGAAAAUAUAAAUAAUAGAAUGGAUAACUUUUCUACUGCCAUCAAGAAUCAAAUUAGCUUUAAUAAAAUGAUUGAAUCUCACUUAAAUCAAAUAGCUGUUGCUGUUCCUACUACUAACCCCGGUAUACCAUCACAACCGGAAGGAUUAGAAUCUGCAAAUCUUGUAGACAUGUUUGAUGCAGGUAAUUGGAGUAACCCCGUCACUGAAUUCUCUACUGACCUUCUGCCGGUCAAGAGAGGCGAUCCAGGACGCCCCGUCAUCCCGAUCUCCAUCGGCAUGGUGGACGUUCUAGAAGCACUCUGUGACUUUGGCUCCAGUGUCAACAUUAUACCCAGGGUACUCUAUAAAAAAUUCUUUACAUAUCCUUUAUUAGAAACAACCAUGUGUUUGCAGUUUGCAGAUCAGACGAUAACUUUUCCAAAAGGAAUAGUGAGGAACCUUUGUGUCCGAGUUGGUACCUUGUAUGCCCCAGCAGACUUCGUAGUGGUAGAGACCGGGAAUGAUGAGAGAGCACCUAUCAUCCUAGGGAGGCCAUUCUUGAACACCACCGGAGCUAUCAUCUACGCCAGUGCUGCCAAGAUCAGUUUCUACGUCAAAGGGAAGAAGGAGACAUUUUUCUUCAAGAACAAGACUACACAAAUCCCAGAUCAAUCCAGACGUCAAUCAAGGAAGAGGACCAACAGGAGGAACAGGAACAAGCAAGUGUGGACCGAGUCAGCUAAGAUGGUCACUGUAGUUCAUGGAGGCCAAGAUCAUCAACUUAAGUCACCGUCUUUGACCAAGAAGGACGACCCAGGAAUGCCAAGCAUCUACUGCUCCAUAAAUGGAUACAACUUCUACAAGACGAUUUGCAACACCGGAUCGGGCGUCAACAUAAUGGCCACAGUCACCUAUCGGCUCUUAUUCGGAACCAUGCCCCUAAGACCAACAUACAUUCAGCUCCAGAUGGCAGAUCAGACAUUUCGAGAAGUUAAAGGAAUAGUAUCUGAUGUCCCAGUCAAAAUAGACUAUCACUUUGUCUACACAGACUUUCAAGUUAUUGACAUGGGAGAAGAUGAGUAUGAUCCACCCAUCAUCCUUGGAAGACCGUUCCUCAGCACCGUUAAAGCAAUUAUCUACACUGGAACCGGAGAAGUCCAUAUGCACUUCCCCUCAGAGAAGGUACGCCGUUAUUUUACUGACCCUAACUAUAUCAUUGAAGAAUCUAAGCAGGUCAGAAAGAGACGCAACCAUAAUCAGAGGAGGCAGAUCAUCAAGGACGGAUGGGCAGACUAUGAAGGAGAAGUUAUAAGGUCAGAAGACGUAGAGUUUAAACAGAAUUAUCCAGAGGAGAUUGAAGCAUCGAGUCAGGUAUGGAAAAUGAAGAUAACUAUACAAGAAGAGGAGGCGCUGCCGGAGGUACCGACUACGCCACCUAACGAACCUCAGGACGAUUAAAGAAAAUGGAGAGUCCCGUUCGGAGGACUUAAAAACACCAAACGCCUUGCCAAGAGGUAAACUUGGUAGUUAUCCUUUCCCUUUUUAUUAUUUCAAAUAGUUUACUUAGUUAAUCAUGUUCAUACGAUCUUAAAAAAAAAGAAAAUAAAAAUAUGAAAAACAGUAAGCCCCAUGUAAGUAUGCGAGUGGCAUAAAACCCAUAAGUACAUUCACUGUGGUGGCAUAAAAAUAAAAUAAAUAUUUUUUCUGCUUUAUAAAAACAAAAAUAUAAAAACAGGGAGUAAUAUUUAUUAAGGAGUCUCAACAUGAAAAAGGCUGGAUAUUUAUGCUAACACUUAAUCAGUUCCACAAGCUUUGUUGUCUAUUUGAGCUCCACAGAAUUUAAGAAUCAAGAAGACUAGCAGACGGAGGACAUUCUAAUCGCUGUCAAAAUGCUGCUGACUUUCAAAUACACCUCUGUCAUCUGCUAGCUACAUCAAGAGAAAUUACGUCAAAAUUCAGCUUGGGGGAGAGCACCCCCAUUUAUCACGAUAAGUAUUUCUAUCUAUCUUUAUACUUAUAUUAUUUUAGAAUAUAAAUACAUAUAAACUAUAGAAAACCAAAUAAAGAUUUUAUGCUUAUAUAUCUUUUGCUUAGUGUGUUUAAUAAAUAAAGUGGCUAUGCUAAUCUGUAUCUAAAUAAAACUUAAGCAUGGAUAUGAUAAAUAGUUGCUCUGCCUAAUUUGCAAAUUUUAAGUUCUCUCUCAAGUUUAGACAUAACUGUUAUAAUUUAAAGGUUACUCUAGACCUAAACUUGUGGGAUGAAAACUUGAUCUGAAGUCUAAGUUGUUAACGGAUACGAUAUGGGAAGGUUGAGCUGCUGUUUAUCUGUUCCUAGAGAAACCAGAAUUCUGGAGAAUUUUAUCUUUAAAAAUCUUUAAAAUGUUGCAUGAUGAGUUCCUGUAUGAUGAGAGUUUAAAUUCCUACCACAGCCAUAUAUACAUGCUUGUUAGACUUUGAGCCACACAUUUAUUAUUUACUGCUUAUGAGCAUUGAGUGUGGUCAAGCUGUGUAGACCCUUAGGAGCUUGUCAUGUGGUUAAAUCAAGAUUUCACUUGCACGUUCACUCAUAUAUGCUACUUCUACUCCGGAAGUACCAUCCACAUAUAUCCACCUAUUCCAUCUCUAGAAUCAUCCAAAAAUAUUCUACUCCCAAUCCGGGAGAGAAUAAUCAAAAAUAUUUCUGUUUUCCCUUGUGAAAUAAAUGCUCAAGUUAUCUUGUUACUACCACUUGCUAUAUUAUCUCAAGAGAUGAAUGCUUUUUUAAAAAAAAGAAAAAAAGAAGAAAAAAGAGAGAAUGUUGACACCGUUUUUGGGCACGUGUCCAGGAUGGUAGGAUAAGAUGACAGUAUGUGGUUUACAGGAUGAGUUGCCGAUGAGGAUGGUUGCCGAUAAUGGAGAGGUCGGACGUGACUAAGUUUACAGGUGAUGAUGUAUCUAUGCCGAUGACUAUGAUGAGGAGGUCUGCCGAUGACCAUGGCAAAAGAGUCUGCCGAUGAUACGGAGGGGGAGUCUGGAAGCUGCUGAUCGGGUUGUGGAAGAGUUUCAAUUUGUCACGAGGGAUAACUGAGUUAUUUCCUUAUUUGUUUAAGUCGUUUUGUAUACGGAUUCCGUGUAAUUUGGAAUUCGAAUUCUGGUCGUGUUUAGUUAUAGCUCUUUAAGCAGGGUAUAAAUAUGGACCCUAGGGCUUUGUAAUGAGACAUCUAUCAAUCAAUCAAACACACGUUUUUACUCAUAUUCCAGCAUCUACUUUUCGAUGACUUCGUCAUACUUUUUCCCUUUUAUUACGAGUUCUUAGGAAUUCGUCGACUUAAGCUCGGCGUGUUCUCAAGUUCCGCGUGAGUACCACUUAGCCGUGACAUCCGGGCGCAUCGCUGUUGUCAGGACUAAAGUAUUCGAGUUAUCACCUUUGUUGAUAGUAAGGUCAAAUCAGCUGGCACGCCUUAACGUUUGAAUUGGGUAUUAGCCCUUUGUGUUUGCAGACCAGCUUUUGCACCAACACAUCUUUUGGCACGCCCGGUGGGACAAGAUUCAAGAUCAAGAUCAACAUGUCGAUCUCUGACUUCGAUCAGGAGAACGUCAUCCCCGUGACGGAGGCCAAUCUCAAGGAUGAGCAGAAGCAAGCUAUUGCCCAAGCCAUGGAAGAAUUCAAGCUGCAAUGCCCGAGGUCUUUCAGCAUAAACAGGAGCGGCGAGGUGAUCCAGAGAGAUGCAUUGCCGGCACCACGACAGGUUACCUUCGAAGCCAAUCCUGGCAAGCUUCAAGAUAUGGUUGACAGUGCUAUUAACCGAGCUUUGAUCAACCAAGCUGGUGUACUGUCUAAUACGGUUUUCAAUGCCGUGGCAAGAACUUUCAAGGAAGGACAAAUCCCACCAGAUUAUGUGGGUCCCUCUCAUCAUCAGCCAACGGCACCAGAGGUCACGGCUCCAUCGGCUGCUUUGACGGCUGCAAGUGCACAAUCUGUCGUCCCUCCAAGUACAUCGGGAGCUACAGGUGCACUAUCUGUGCCGAUGACAACUAACCCGCAGACUUCAGGUGGGCAGAAUAAGCUGACUACAGAUAUGUUGGCAUCGGCAAUGUCAGGGUUAACUCUUCCUCCUAACUGGUGGGGUUAUGGUAUGCCUCUAGAAUUGACGCCAGGUACAUCGCAGAUAACCGACAUGAGGGGCAAGACUCCUAUGACAUCGGCGGUUCCCAAUGCGCCGUUGAACCAGAGUCCCCGGUAUACGACAGCUACUACUGCAAGGCCUCACACUGGGAAUCCUCAAGAUUCAAUGUUCCAGAUGCCUAAUGCAUCGGUAGAUUCAAUGCUGAUGCAAUAGAGGUCUAUGGCCCAGUCAGGGUAUGUCAAUUCAAUGAUGGUACCCAAUUACCAAUCAUCGGCAGCGCCUAUGCCGAUGAACGCUAAUAAUGGAUGGCUUGGACAGCAAGUCUUUCCACAAUCGCCCCAACAAAGUUACCAGGCUACGGGGUUCCAGCAAGGACAGAUCUAUCUCGGAUUCCAAAGUCAGGGGAUCCCCAACCAGCCAAUGAAUAUUGGACAGCAACUCAGGGGACAGCAAGUCGGUGGACAGCAGUUUGGUGGUCCGCAGAUUGGAGGACAGAUGAUCAAUCCGAUGCUCCGUACAGAUCACGUCCCGAACAGACACGUGGAGGUUCGCCACCAAGUGCCGGACCCGCAGCCGCCUCAUCGGCAGGAUGCCGAUGCAUAUUGGGCCGAUAAAAUUGCUGAAGUAAUGAGGGAACAAUUUGGGAUAAAACCCAAAGUCAACACUUACUCUUAUCGGACACCGUAUCCUCCUGCAUAUGAUUUGAUCCCGCUUCCACAUCGGUACAAGGUACCGGAUUUUACCAAAUUUUCCGGGCAGGACGACACGUCAACCAUGGAUCAUGUCAACAGGUUCAUCAUUUAAUGCGGAGAAGCUGAUAACAGGGACGAAUUGAGGGUUCGUCUAUUUUCAUCAUCAUUAUCUGGAUGGCCUUUACUUGGUUCAUAUCAUUACCUCCCAACUCAGUGAUUACUUGGGCCGAUCUGGAGAAAAAUUCCACAAAUACUUCUUCUCCGGGGUUCAUGAGAAGAAGAUCACCGACUUGGUCAAGUUGAGACAGCGCAAUGAUGAAUCAGUUGAAGGUUUCGUGCAGAGGAUACGGGAAGUUAAGAAUAAAUGCUACAGUCUGGUUCUAGAUGAUCGACAGCUAGCCGAUUUGGCUUUCCAGGGUUUAUUGCCACACAUCAGGGAUAAGUAUGCUUCUCAGGAAUUUGAAAGCUUAAGUCAUUUGGUGCAGAGGAUUUCUGAUCAAGACGUCAAGCCUUUCGAGCCCAAAAGAGCAUGGAACAAGAAAGUAUCAUUUGUUGAUGAAGCAACGAGCUCCGAUUCUGAUGAGGAACCAGUCAUCGGCUUGGCAGAGUGGGUCAAAAACAAGAAGCCGAUGUCUUGUCCUUUUGGGUAGAAAGAACCUGAGAAGUUCGCUUUCGACACCGCUAAGGCCGAUAAGAUAUUUGAUUUUCUACUCCAGGAAGGUCAGAUCAAGCUGUCUCCUAAUCACAUGAUCCCAUCGGCUGAGGAGUUGAAGAGGAUGAGAUAUUGCAAGUGGCAUAAUGCAACUUCUCAUGACACUAAUGAAUGCAAAGUUUUCAGACAUCAGCUGCAAUCGGCAAUAGAGUCUGGGAGGAUUAAGUUUGACAGUUCCAAGACUCAGAAGCCGAUGAAGAUAGACCAACAUCCUUUCCCGACAAACAUGUUGGAUGCCAAGGGGAAGGCCAAGGUCUUAACAUCGGAAACAGCCGAGAGAAGUGCAUCGGUAGAUCCUCAGCAUCAAGUUACUACUGCCGAUGCAAAAAGUAAGGGUUUAGUCCAGGAAGGAACCAGUUCGGGUAGGCCCCCUCGGUCUGGUAUUGUUAUAACUCAUAGAAGACCUCGAGAGAACUGGCAGCAACGGGAAGAUCGGUAUCGGCGCCAGCAAGAAGAUUAUCGACGGGAGGAAGAAAGACGCCGGCAGGAGUGGAAUCGGCAUAGAGAUCACUGGAACUGCCCGUUCUUCAUCCAUUGUUGGGAGGAAAAUAUCAAGCUUCCUACUGUCAGAGACUGCCCUGAGUGCAAUGGUUAUGAUCGGUACGACAGGACUGAUCGGCGUUAUCAUGAUGACAAUCGGCGAUUUGAUGGGCCGAUCAGAGGAAGAGCAUCGGUUCAUGAUCGGCUGGGGGGCAGGCUUAGCGUGCACGAUAGGCUUGGUGAUCGUGUCCAAUGUUUUCCCAGGAACUAGGAAGAGCUCGAGGAGAUGGCUAAUGCACGAGUUCCCGAUGAGUUUAUAUUUUGCAGGGAUGCUAACACGUAUCGUAUGGAGUCAAGGGAGAACCGACGCCCGGCAGUAAGGCAAAAGCCACUCCCUUCAUGGUGUCCUGAAGGGUUGACCAAGACACAGAAAAGGAGAUUGCUGCGUGAAAGGCAAGAGGAGCUAAACAAGGGCGAAAAUUCUGGUCAGUCUGGAGAUCAGCAGCAAUCAGAUCCUAAGAAAGGAGGUCCAUCGGCAGGAGUUAACAUGGUCUUUAUGUUACCGAUGGAGUUUCUUGCGCCAUCUAGUGAUGAUGAGUUGGAAUUUUCCGAUCAGAUAGCUCAGCUGGCUCUAGAUCCGAUGACGGCUAUCUUUGAGAAACCUGCCGAUGACGAGAGACAGCAUCUCAAAGCUCUAUUCGUCAAAGGAAGGGUUGAUGGGCAGCCAAUGACCAAGAUCCUAGUUGAUGGUGGAGCUGCUAUUAAUAUUAUGCCAUAUGCAGUAUAUCGGAAGCUUGGGAAAGGGGAUCAGGACUUGACCAAGACCGAUAUGAUGCUCAAGGAUUUUGAAGGAAACGUGUCUCCAGUCAAAGGGGCAAUAUGUGUGGAGUUGACCAUCGGCAGCAAAACCUUGCCGACAACUUUCUUCGUAAUCAGUGGAAAGGGUGCUUAUAACUUAUUGUUGGGAAGAGAUUGGAUUCAUGCCAAUUGUUGCAUCCCAUCUACAAUGCACCGAUGCCUGGUUCAGUGGGUAGGCGACAAAAUUGAGAUUGUCCCAGGAGAUUCUUCUUAUGUUAUUGCAUCAGCAGAGGCGGAUACCUAUGAGAGGACUAGGUGCAUUUCAGGGGAAGUUUGGGAGAAGGAUUUUCUCAAAGUUGCCGAUUACGAGAUUCCACCGAUCCAAGCAGUCGGUUCUGACGACGGUUUUUAAUGGAUAGGUUCGCCGACGAUGGAAAAUUAGGCCAGGGAUUCACAUCGGCCGAUGAUUUGGUAGAAGUAGAUAUAGGUAGUGGAGAUAAGCCUAGGCCUACUUUUAUUAGUGCUAAGUUAAAUCCUGAGUGUAAGCAGCAAUUAACCAAUUUAUUAAAGGAAUAUAAAGAUUGCUUUGCUUGGGAUUAUACCGAGAUGCCUGGUUUAGACCGAUUAAUUGUUGAACAUCGGUUACCCAUCAAGUCUGGAUUUCGGCCACAUCAGCAGCCAGCUCGCCGAUGUAAUCCUAAUAUUCUACCUGAUAUUAAGGACGAAAUCACUAAGCUUAUUGAAGCUAAGUUUAUUCGGCAGUGUCGGUAUGCCGAAUGGAUUUCCAAUGUCGUUCCGGUUUACAAGAAAAACGGGAAGCUUCGAGUGUUCAUUGAUUUCAGGAAUCUCAAUAAAGCUACGCCGAUGGAUGGAUACCCAAUGCCUGUUGCUGAUCUGUUGGUUGACGCCGCGGCUGGUCAUCGGGUCAUCAGCUUUAUGGACGGCAAUGCAGGAUACAAUCAAAUAUUCAUGGCAGAGGAAGAUAUUCCAAAAACCGCAUUUAGGUGUCCUGGUCAUGUUGGGUUAUUUGAAUGGAUAGUUAUGACCUUUGGGUUGAAGAAUGCUGGUGCUACUUAUCAAAGAGCCAUGAAUUUUAUAUUUCAUGAGUUCAUCGGCAAGCUGGUGGAGAUCUAUAUUGAUGAUGUGGUGGUUAAGUCUGGGGAUUUCUCAGAGCAUCUUGCCGACUUACAAAAGGUGUUAGAGUGCACAAGGAAGCAUGGGUUGAAGAUGAAUCCCAAUAAGUGUGCAUUUGGUGUAUCGGCAGGGCAGUUUCUUGGUUUCAUGGUACAUCAAAGGGGGAUUGAAAUUAGUUGAAGAUCUAUUGAUGCCAUCAAUAAAAUAGUGGCCCCUACCAACAAGACUGAGCUCCAGUCCUUAAUCGGCAAGGUAAAUUUUAUCAGGAGAUUUAUAUCCAAUCUGUCUGGUAAGAUUCGUGCUUUCAGUCCUCUCCUUAAGUUGAAAGCCGAUCAAGAGUUUAUUUGGGGAAAAGAGCAGUAGUUGGCUUUGGAUGAAAUCAAGAAAUAUCUAGCGAAUCCUCCAGUUCUAGUUCCACCUCAGCAGGGAAAGCCCUUCAGAUUGUAUUUGUCUACUGAUGGGACGGUCAUCGGUUCGGCUUUGAUUCAAGAAUUUGAAGGGAAAGAGCGUGUAAUUUAUUACUUAAGCAGGAGAUUAAUUGAUGUUGAGACCAGGUAUUCGGCCAUUGAGAAGUUAUGCUUAUGCUUAUAUUUUUCAUGUAUUAAAUUGAGGCACUGUUUAUUAUCGGCCGAAUGCACUGUUGUUUGCAAAGAUGAUGUGGUCCGAUACAUGCUAUCGAUGCCGAUUAUGAGUGGCAGGAUCGGUAAAUGGAUUUUAGCACUGUCAGAGUUCGAUCUGCGUUACGAAUCGGCUAAGGCAGUUAAACGACAGAUUAUGGCCGAUUUUGUGACUAUUGCGGUGUAGUGGAGGCCUUGGAAAUUGUGCCCUGGACACUUUUCUUUGAUGGAUCUACAUGUGACCGGGGGGCAGGAAUCGACAUUAUAUUAGUUUCCCCUAAGGGGAGGAAGUAUGAAUUUUCCUUGCCGAUUGUUGCUACAUCGACAAAUAAUCAGGCUGAGUAUCAAGCUCUGAUCAAGGGAUUGGAGUUGUUAAGAGAAAUUCGUGCUGAUGCUGUUGAAAUUUUUGGGGAUUCUAUGUUGGUUAUAAAUCAAUUGGCCGGGAGCUAUGAAUGCUGAAGUGAAGUUCUCAUAACUCAUUUCGAGAAAAGCUUGCAACUGUUGAAAGAAUUCAAAGAUUUCCGAUUAGAGCAUAUUCCUCGAUUGCAUAAUGAAGAGGCCAAUCGGUUAGCUCAGCAUGCCUCCGGAUAUCAGCCUAUGAUUAAUGCAAUAUCGGCAAUCGGUGCCGAUGAUUGGAGGAAGGAAGUUAUUGAUUAUCUAAAGGAUCCAUCCAAGAAAGUUGAAAGACGAGUUCGAUUUCAAGCAACCAAAUAUGUGCUCCUCGAAGAUGAAUUGUAUUAUCGAACUAUUGAUGGAAUUCUUCUCCGAUGUUUGGGUGAUGAUGAAGCUAGGAGUUUAAUGGGAGAAAUCCAUGAAGGGGUAUGUGGAGCACAUCAGUCGGCUUUCAAGAUGAAAUGGAUGAUUAGAAGGAAUGGAUAUUUUUGGCUGACUAUACUUGAGGAUUGCUUUAAGUAUUUCAAGGGAUGUCAAGGUUGUCAAAAGUUUGGUAACAUUCAAAGAGCACCCGCAUCGGCUAUGAAUCCUAUUAUCAAGCCUUGGCCGUUUCGGGGAUGGGCUAUCGAUCUGAUCGGCCAGAUUUAUCCACCAUCUAGUAAGGGGCAUAAGUUUAUUUUGGUUGCCACUGAUUAUUUUACUAAAUGGGUUGAAGCUAUUCCUUUGAAGAAGGUCACCUCGGCCAAUAUGAUUGAUUUUGUGAAGGAACACAUUAUUUACCGAUCUGGGAUUCCUCAGACAAUUACUACCGAUCAGGGCACUAUGUUCACAUCGGGGGAGUUUGACGAAUUCGCAAUCGGUAUGGGGAUUAAAGUGUUGAAUUCUUCUCCUUAUUAUGCUCAAGCCAAUGGGCAGGCCGAAGCAUCUAACAAAGGGAUUAUCAAGCUUAUUAAACGAAAGAUUGAAGAAAAUCCUAAGCGGUGGCAUACAUUGUUAAAUGAAGCACUGUGGUCUUAUCGGAUGGCUUGUCAUGGAUCAACCAAGGUGUCACCCUAUCAAUUGGUGUAUGGACAUGAUGCAGUGUUGCCUUGGGAGAUUAAGGCCGGAUCUAGGCGAUUAUCUUUUCAAGAUCGGUUAACCGCCGACGAUUAUGCUACUUUGAUGACCGAUGAGUUGGAUGAUCUAGCAGGGCAUCGGUUAAAAGCUUUAAUGAGUAUAGAAGAAAAUAAGAAGAGAGUUGCUAGAUGGUAUGAUAAGAAAGUGAAGGCUAAGGAGUUUGUCGAUGGGGAUUUGGUAUGGAAAUUAAUUUUGCCAGUCGGGACUAAAAGUGCGAAGUUUGGAAAGUGGUCUCCUAAUUGGGAAGGUCCUUAUCGGAUAAGUCGAUCGGCUCCUGGUAAUGCCUAUAUUCUAGAAACUCUCGAAGGAGUUGAAUUUUCUAGAGCAUUAAAUGGCAAAUAUUUAAAGAAGUACUACCCCAGCAUAUGGGUCGAUGCAUAAAAGUUUAAAUGCCGAUAACACUCCUAUCGGCUGGAUUCAAAUGUUUGGGGGCUUAGUGUUUCAAAAGAUGCCGAUAACAGUCCUAUCAGCUAGACUAAAAGCUGAGGAAGUAGGGAAGCACAGAUAUGAUGCCGAUGAAAACUUUAUGUGUUAAGCAGCGCCUGGAUUGCCGAUAUAGCACGUAGCCGGAUUUGGUUGGCUGCUUCUAUCUCCUUAAUGUCAUCAUCGGCAGAACCCUCUAUCGGCUUCAGUUUCUUCUUCAGUUGAAGUGCCUUGCGACCAUGAACGUUUCGCUCGUGCUCAAGAAGCUUGAUGGUCUCUGGCAGUUGGCUCUCUUCCUGUUGAGCUUGGGAUAAGGCGUCCUCCACUUCCUUGAGUUCUGCCAACAAGGAUUCUCUUCUUGCCGAUAGAUCGGAUAUUUUCUGCUUCAGCGCGUCUCCUGAAGAUCUCAGGAUGCUGAUGUUCUUGUGCUUCUCAUCGGUCAAGAGCUUCUCUUUCCUCAUUUCGUCGGAGAGUUGAGUCUAAGCAGCUCUAUCGGCAAGACGCCGAGAAGCUCUCUGGUACUGCAGCUGGCGACUCUCCAAAUGAGCGGCUUGGAAAAGGGUUUCUUCGACAUCGGCUGGGAUUUGGCCUCUGAGAGUUCUGAACAGGGUCUUGGUAGGGUCGGAGUCGUCAACCAACUGCGCUGUGUCUUGGUGAAGGAGAGCUGACAAUUCCUCCAGUCUGGUCCUGAUCUCUGCCGAUGUAAUGCCAACUGUCUGAGAAGAGCUUGCCUCUUCGCCUUCUUCUUCAGAGAGAUCGAUGGCGAAGGAGAACAGGCUGUCGGGAGAAUCUUGUUCCUAGGAGGGAGAGCAAAGUUAGUUCAUACUCGGAGAAUCGGCAAAUAAUACUGGUAAAGGUUGGGUGGCUUACUUGUUUUAAGGCUAUUUCCUGCCUUUGUCUGAAAGAUGCCGAUGGAGAUGCAGGUUGAUCGGCUAGGGUUGCCGAUGGGACGAUAUCGACUGAAAGAAGACAGGAAGGGUUAUGAGACUAAAUGAGAAUAAGUUUAUCGGCGGAAGUAUUGUUGAAAUAUGUUACCUGGAGGAGGAACAACAGUUGUCUGAAUCGGAGGAACCGCCGAUGAUAUAAUUGGACCUGCUGGGCCCAUUGUUUGUUCACCCACGUCAGCUGAUGUACCUUCUGUUUGAGGUUCUUCCUGCUGGGGUUCUUCCAUCUGUGGUGCUUCCUGCAUUGGUUGGGAAGAUGGUGCUUGCUGUGUCUGGACUCCUGGAGAAGAAGGAGAGGACUCCACCAGAAUUGGAGACACCGGAGGAGGAGGGGGACUUGCCACUUUCUGGCGCUUUGUUCCAGCCUUAGCACCUUUGGUGCCCUUUCUCUUUGGCUGGCUAGACUGGGGGGCAUCGGCACUUUGGCGCUUGGCUUUUGCCGAUGUACGGGUUUGCUGCAACAACGAAAAGGGGUUUAUAAGCACAGAUGUAGCCGAUAUAAAGAUGGUCAGUGUAAAAGAAAAAGAUUUGACAAAUUGCCUUGAAAGCCUGCACCAGAGUGGAAGCAGCUACCGUAGGUGAUGUCUGAGCUCUCUUGGUGGUGACUUUCCUGAGGCGCACACCCCGAUGCACGACGGAAGCUAGAGUGGGAGCAUUGUGGCCGACUGAGGAGAUCGGGCCUGAUGGAAACAAGUCAAUCGGCUUGCCACUCCUGCUAACCGAUGGGGGGAUGUUGUCAACCUGCAGAAAGAAUACAAGGGUAAGCUACCGAUGGAAAUAGUAUUGAAAAAUGAAACAUCGAUUUUAAAAUACUUACAGUGUCAUCGGGGAUUUCGUAUUCGGGGUCGAUCAUGCCGCGGUAUGAGAGGGCCGAUCUACAGAAUAGAUGCUCUUUCCAUUCUGCCCACCAUAGCUUGUAUGCCUGAGUAAUAAAGGCAGCUGGAACCCAUUCUGACAGAUCUACAUCUGUAUCGGCAUUUGGUGGUAGUUGGGCUACUCGAAUCCAUUCAAGAAAGUUGGUGAUGGGUUCUCUGGGUUUUAUCACAUCGGCAUAAGGGAGUGCAAUCGGUAACUGGCCGAAAGCUAGCUGACGGGCUAAGGCCGAUGAAUUGUAAAAUUCAUAGGUUUGGGGAGAGGUUUUUGUGCUACCAAAGAAAUUCACUGGUAUGGCUCUAGGAGUCACAAUUGCCAUCAUCACCUCAUUAUCCCUGUCAAGAGCUUCAUCAAAUGGAUUGAAGGUUAGAGGGAGCAUGCUGUCUGGGUCAUCAUAAGCCAACCAUGGUCGUUCAUCUCUGGCCAAUCCCUCAUACAGAGUCUGGAAGAAUCGGCCGAUUUGAUCCGGAUUACUCCCUGAACCAGGUAGAACUAUGGCAGCUUCGCCAAAGUUCAGGGGGGCACGUGUUGCCGAUUCCUCUUCGCCCAACACAUGAUUUUCGGCUAUAUCUCUUGGGAAAUGCUGUGUGAACAAGUUGAAGUCAAGGCGCUUAUGCAAGUGCAGAUUGAGCCACAUGUUAAUAAACCACCAGGGACCUCCCAAGUUACCGAUAGACUGACCAAGCAGGAGUUUCUGGGCUGCCUGAUGGAGAAGAUGGUAAGUAGCGCCAAGCAAGUAUCGGCCGAGAGGAAAUUGGCCACCGUUAGCCAGUCUCUCUGCUGCCGAUAGAUAGACAGAAGUCGGUCCUGCCGAUCCACCACAGAAUACGAACUUGUCCAGCCACAUGCUCAGAAAGGUAGUUUGUUCCUUUAUGGUGACAGGCCCCUUCCCACGGUACUUUUGAAUGUACCCCGACCAACCGCCGAUAGCGCGAGUCUCCACUUUGGCACUAGGAGCGGUAUCAAAGAAGUGGGUGCUAUCGGCAGAAGAGACGUCUAGACCAGUGAGCAUAGCUACAUCGGCAAGAGUGGGAGAAACAGGGUCGUGGCCAAAGACGAAGGCAUUAAGGGUAUCUGACCAAAAAUAAGACGCAGCUAUCAACAGCGACUCGUUCUUGUGCAUAUCGGCAAUAGAUAGCCUGAUGCAUUGGGCUAGCUUCCUUUCACCCCACUGGACUUCAUUCGAAUUGCUGACUCUCAAGAACCAGUCUUUCCACCCUACAGUAGGGCUGGGCCAAGAGCGAAAGGUGUCUUUCCACAGAUCUAAAGAAAAAUUUUCGGCUCUAAAGGGAAUCCUGUUGGUUUCUGCAUUGAUAAGGUCAGUUGGAUCUGGAUCCCCUAGAGGGCCGAGACAUUGGAGGUGUGGUUGAUCGGUGGGGAUGACAAUUUUGUUGGACAACUCCUAGUGUUUUGGGGAAUAAAAAAAAUACAAAGAAAAAGGAAAAGGGAGAUAUUCAGUAAGAUGAAUCGCGGAUGAAGAGGAAUACGAGAAGAAUACAGGAGAUGAGAUGGAGAUCUGACCUCAGGGACGACGAAGCCAAUGGCCAUCUUGUCGUGAAGAGAACGUUUGAGGGCACCGGAGUUGAUGAAGAGGAGUGCUUGUCGGAGGUCUUGAAGGUUGUGAAUGGCGCCGCCGCUGGAAAAGUAAAAGUAGGGAUGGUGAAAUGAUGUGAUGGAGAAGGAGUACCUGAGAAGGAACUAUUUAUAGGAUAAAACGGGCAAGGGCAAAUCUGACUUAUCUCUUUGCCGCAUCCGAGAAACCCGAGGGUGCUCAGGUAGAUAUGGUAACUGUUCGCAUGGUAAUCAAGGGAUUGUGCAGGUGAUUUGACGGGGAAGAGUCAUUACCUGGAGAUAUUUUACUGUGCGGGAUCUUCUGGUCGGUCCAUCGGCAGCAUACGGUAACGGUCAUAUUGCCGAUGGGCGGAUAAAGUAAAGGUAGCCAUUUGUACAAACGUCCUGAUUAGUCCAUCGGUAGAUCUUCGUAACGGUAAUAUUGCCGAUGUGCGGAUGAGAAGGAAGUGCCCGUUCCGGAAGUUGAGGAUUUCGAGGAAUCUGCAGGAGAAUAGGAUCGAAGUUGUUUGGAUUGAGGUUGUCGGUUACCAGAUUAGGAGCAUUAAUUGCGGGAAAAGGCAUCAUUACUGCAGAAAAUUUUGGAGCAUUAAUAGUUUCAUACUCCCAAAUUGGGGGGCAUGUGUUGACACCAUUUUUGGGCACGUGUCCAGGAUGGCAGUAUAAGAUGACAGUAUGUGGUUUACAGGAUGAGUUGCCGAUGAGGAUGGUUGCCGAUAAAGGAGAGGUUGGACGUGACUAAGUUUACAGGUGAUGAUGUAUCUAUGCCGAUGACUAUGAUGAGGAGGUCUGCCGAUGACCAUGGCAAAAGAGUUUGCCGAUGAUACGGAGGGGGAGUCUGGAAGCUGCUGAUUGGGUUGUGGAAGAGUUUCAAUUUGUCACGAGGGAUAACUGAGUUAUUUCCUUAUUUGUUUAAGAAGUUUUGUAUAUGGAUUCCGUGUAAUUUGGAAUUCGAAUUCUGGUCGUGUUUAGUUAUAGCUCUUUAAGCAGGGUAUAAAUAUGGACCCUAGGGCUUUCUAAUGAGACAUCUAUCAAUCAAUCAAACACACGUUUUUACUCAUAUUCCAGCAUCUACUUUUCGACGACUUCGUCAUACUUUUUCCCUUUUAUUACGAGUUCUUAGGAAUUCGUCGACUUAAGCUCGGCGUGUUCUCAAGUUCCGCAUGAGUACCUCUUAGCCGUGACAUCCGGGCGCAUCGCUGUUGUCAGGACUAAAGUAUUCGAGUUAUCACCUUUGCUGAUAGUAAGGUCAAAUCAGCUGGCACGCCUUAACGUUUGAAUUGGGUAUUAGCCCUUUGUGUUUGCAGACCAGCUUUUGCACCAACAGAGAAAAAGAAAAAGAUACGAGGAAAUAAAAAGGAGCAAGUGCUCGGAACCUCGAAAGAAAAGAAAAAGAUGAGCAUCUCAUUCUCCUCAUAAAGUUUCAAAAGCAAGGAAGGUAUGUAACCCUUCAAAAGAGCAAAGUAGAAUUAGACUUCCACCACCAUUGUUUCCACCAUUGUUAUCACCGUUAUCACCAUACACCAUUCAUUCGCCACACAUGCACAUCUUGAUUUGGCUUAUUGAUAUGUUUCUUUGGAUCCAUGGUUUGACUAUGCAAUAAAUGUCUUGUAAGUAUGUAUACUUUAUCUCCCACCUAUGAGCUCCAGAUAUUAAAGCCUUAUUAGAGUAGGGUGAGAGAGAAGGCAAUGUCACUAUGCCUCAUACCACAAAUACUACAUAUCUUGAGAGAAGGCAUAUACCAUCACUGCCUUGGUAAGGAUCCAGAAAUACCACAAAAGAGAGAUAUGAGAGAAUCAUACAAGGAAUCUUUGAGUUUUAUUUGAAAAUCUGCAAAAACCCUAGAGCUAUAGUUGAUCAAGAAUAAGAGACAUGGCACUUGGCUAGAUUGUUCUAUCUUUUAACUACUCAAGACAGAAGUGACAGUUACAAGUCCCAUGGUGAAGGUAAAGUAAGUAAGUUUUAAGUCUUGACAGUUUACUCUAACUCAGAGACGAGAUCUUAUUCAAAAGCAUGUGUACCGUCAAUUUUUUAAAUAUUGCAACAACUUAUGAUCCAUAGCUGAGUCUAUCCUUGCUCAGGGACGAGCAAGAGGUAAGCUUGGGGGAGUUUGUUGACGGUCCUUAAGUAUCAAAUUUAAUUAUCAAAUAAAUAAAGAAAAGGAUCUAAAUGAAAUCAACAUCCAGACUUAGGGUUUUAUCUGACAGAAUUCCACGAGUUUUGGUGUUUGUCUAUUUCUGUAGGGGGUUAUCAAGAAAUAUGGAAGAAAUGCCCAAAUGUUGGGAUUACGUAAAUAUAUUAACGUGCUGUGCAAUUACCUUACAUCUAGAAGACUCCAGAAGCCACGAGACCGAAGCGGAAGCGAAACGGGGCCUGAGCCUGGGCGGCCGCCCAGUUGGUCAGGGCGCCCGCCCUGCCCCUGAGUCCAAUCAGGACUCUGCUUUGCGGGAGAUCUCCACCGACCUAAAGGAUGAAUCUAAACCAUACAAUCUAUGUCGGUUUGAUCCAAUGGCCCAUAUUCACUUGGAGGGACUAUAAAACCAGACCCCCUGGCCCCUGGAGGAGAGAGCCUCUCAACCCUAAUUCAUUGUUCCAUCAAGGGAGAAGAAGCCUCUGAUCAAGAUUAGAGCCACCACAUCAAUUAGACAUCUAGAUUAGCAUAGCUACAUAGGAUUAGAACUAGAAGGAGUCAAUCUUUGAUUGGUUUCCGGAUCUGUCAGGAGGAUUCUUGGUAAUUCUCUAAUUGUGCUUCUAAUUGCUUUCUAAUUAUCUUUGUUCUUCAAUAUUAUGAAUAUGACUUUGUUCUACUUCAAUAUAUUGCUUUCAAGAUUAUAUUGUUCUUAGUUUAUCAUAGUUAUGUACUUGGCUUAGUUAGAUACGAUCUAUAUACAUGCUUAGGAUCGUAUAGCGUUUAUCCAUCGGAUCCAUGGGUAAAUGAUAGAUAUUGUGUAGGCGUGGUGCUUAUACCGUAUUUAUCUGCGAUUGUACCCAAUAUGCCAGAUCGUGGGGUGGUUCGUGAUAGUGACAGCUUCAUUGAUUCUUAUAUAGUCCCCCUCUCAUGUAUUGGGCUGGCAGAGCAACAUUAUUACAGGGGAGUGAUUGCUAUGUUUCUCAUAUUCCUUGCUAAUAUCACUAUGCAUGGGCGUAGUCUUGUCUCACAAUGAUUGCUAAGUAUGCUUGCACUAAUUAUGAUAAUGCUAGACUAUAUAGUUGAGAAUAACUUAGGGAAUAUUCUUGUAGUUCGUUCUAAUACCAUGCUAAUGACUUUCUAGAGUAUCUAAUUGAGGUGCUUAUCAUAUUUAUUAUGUGGCUAGAUCAGAUUAGUUAUCCUUGUCACUAUUAUUAUUUCAUAUAUCUUUUAUGUAACACUUAUCCCUGUAUGAGAAGUUAGAUAUAAUGUUCUCAAUUAUACAUGCAAUGAUAGAUGCUCAAUCUCAUAUUCUAUUCUGUAAUCAAUAGUGCUGAUUGCUAAUCCCUUCCCAGUGGUAAAAAUAUAAAUAACGAUACCUGGAAUACUUCCCGGUUAAAAUGCUACAUCGGUAUUAAUCUGUGCGCUUGCAGAUCCCAUUCAUUAUUUAUUUAGAAGAGCAAUUGCAUAUUUCAAUACCGCGUCUCUCAUAUCAUGCUGGGGAUGACAACUUGGCUUAAGUGGUGUGAGGGAUAGGUUUGGCAUUUUUGGCACCGUUACUAGAUUUAGAGAACUUAGUCUACUUUUGGUAAUGAUGUUAAGAAUACCCAACAGCAUGCAUUCGUCUCUCGAUACGAUAACUAUCGAUUUACACGUGCGCUGUUAGAGUACCUGCAGAAAACUUCAUUGCAGCCCAACAAUACCCAAUAUAUCACUCAAGAAAGCAGUAAACUAAGUGCACAUUGCUUGUACAGGCCCAACAUGCACAAACAAUGACACCACAGCUACCCGAGAAAUUAAAUGCUCCCCAAUUAAGUUUCUUUCGUGGUUCCAUGGUUAGACAUAUAACCACUAUAAAAAACCACCGCGAACACUCCCCUAGACCGCCGUUUGGAUGAUCAUGCUCUCACAGCUCACACUUACCAAGGCGUAGGUGUGACGUUGCAUAAUUUAAAUCUAGCGACAUAUGUGGCUAAUUCAUAUAUGAAGGCUACCUCUACCAUUAGACCACAGGGUAGCAUAGUGCGGUCAUCACACAUCCAUACCUGAGUACUGCCGGAGAUGCAUAAAUAAACCCCCCCAAGUCAGUACUUAAAUAGCCACCUAUAGUCCUUAUAUGGGCAAGGAGGAUUCGACCAUUGGCAUAAUUAAGUAUUUAAUUUUUCACAGUUUUAUUUAAAAACUAUUUUGUUUUUAAAUACACAAACGCUGCAUUUAUAAUGCUGAACUUGCUCCGAUGCCAGCUGUCACAGAACCGACUAAAUUAUAAGAGUUCAAGUGUAGAAAUGAUCAACUAGCAAUCAAGUUUCUAAACUUGAGCCCAUAUAAUCCCGGUAGUCAACUGAAAUCACGAAGGACUUCAACCCAACUUGCAACAAACCAAGAUCAUAAUAGUUCAACAUAACACAGCAAAUGUUACAUAGUCAUUCAUCGCCGUCGAAGCGGCACCACAUCGGAGUUACUUAGUCAUUACUACACAAGUUUGUAGUAGCAGAAGCAAAAUAGUUUACAACACACAUUCCAAAGUUCAGUUCAUAAGUUCUUGUUUCUGCCAGAGUCUCAUGCCAUCCAUCAAAAGCAAUAGGUACGAAGUAGUUAGAGAACCGUGCCCAACGGUUUAGUCCUCAUCCCCAGCGGGAUGUAGACAGGUCUUGCAGAAGCCAUCAUAAAAGAUAUCAUCUGCAACAGGUGGGAAUAAACCCUGAGUACGAGAAUGUACUCAGCUAGACUUACCCGUCUAGUAAACAUAAAAGACACCAAGGAUCAUGCAAGUCUAAGUAUAAAGUGUAGCUGGUUUGACUCAACAUUUGCCAAAAGCUUUAGUAGAGACUACACCAAUUGUAACAGCAUCAUGUUAAAUAUCAUUAGCCUACCACUAGAUUAGCACCUAUACUAAAGCACUUCACUUUGAUUAAUACACACAAUAAUAACCACAUCAAGUUCAUCAUAUGCUCUUCCUUGCUAUCAUCAUUAUCACGAACCAUUGUUCUUUAGUGAAUGCUACGUUUGCCGCUGCUCUGUCAAGUUCUCACUAUCCGGGAGAGACGGCGAUUCGAAUCGAUUCCUAUCCAGCUGGAGGGUUAUUCCCAGCACUCACCCAAGCAUCCCCCGUCGGAGAGCCAGCGGGUCACCUUUGGUACAACUCAGGAAUCGCGGCUCCGAUCAGCGCCGUACUCCUAGGGCUACCACUCUGUCAGGGAGGUUAGGACUUUUAACUCACCUACCUUUGGACUUACACCAAUGGUCCCCCACACACCGCACUUCCUCCGGUAGUGCGCACUUUAUACUUGCCGGUGUUCCAGCCUGAGUCAUACUACUAGGCUUCGCGGUCAGAACGAGUUAUCCAGCCAACUAAGUGUCAGGCAUGCGUUCAACAUGACAAGAGGACGUACAACGAUCAGUCCUUAGCUGCCACAGACGGAGUUACUAAAACCUUGCAAAACUCCGCCCAGCUUAAGUCAUUUUAAUCAGGUUCUUUCCACAAUAGCACAUAUAGACAAUCGUGAUCCGACAUAACCCUAUCUCGCGCAGGUGACAGGAUAUCACCCGACUUCUACCGAUUAAGCAUGGCUAAGCUGCUACUCGGUCCUAACUCUACAACCAGGUGGUGGUAAGAUAUCUAUACAAGGAAUGAGUAUAAUGCAGCAAGGGUUUCAUCACAACUCCUAUAGGUAAUGCAUCAAUAGAUAUAACAUAAUCAAGUAAGCUUUUGAAAUUAAAAUGGGAGACUUAAGAUGCUCCGGGGCUUGCCUUUCACGAACGAUGCAGGCUCGUGAUUAGGGCACUUGAUCUCCUCUUCGGGCUCCUCGUGUCCGGCUUGCUGGAUCUCCACCUCCAGAUUGAUCUCCUGGCCCUCGGGGUUCACCUGGAGCUCGAACGAAGCGGUCGUUUCCGGUGCACCUAUUGCAUGCACGAUGAACAAGAAUGUGUGCAUCCUAGAUGAGGAUGAAUACUUGAUAACAUAAUUAGAACUCACUGGACACUCAUUUAUGGAGUAACUGUCAUAACAAGUUCACACAAGAUGAUUACUACUUAGCGAGAUUACCAAGUUAAACUACAAACAACAAUGACCAACAUAACAGUGCAGCUCAAGGAAUAAAUCAUAACUGGAGCUAUACAGAUCCAACAAACAUGAAUGAGGACAUUCUGGAAAGCUUAUGAAAUUUUCUACAUUUCAUCUUUAAACAUUACAUUAAGAUUCAUAACUUAAACAAGUCACUUAAAUAAAGUUCCAGGUUCUGUCCCAGAAAAAAACAGAGAACACCUAUUUCUGGAACCCAACUUGGAAAAGCCAUAACUUCAACACUACUGGACCAAAUGAUCCCAAAAUUAAACCACAGCUAGUUCAUAAAGUUUACAACAACUUUGAUUUAGACAAGUCUUCCAGGAAACCAAGUUAUCAUUAAGCAAUGGUUGGAUUACUCCCUUGCUGUCCAGAACAGCUUUGAACCCUUUGAUUAAUUGUUUAAUGACAUAGACAAAACAUAAUUAGUGUCAACCACAUGGCUUAUAAGCACAAGCAUACUAUAAGAUUACCAGAACAUCCCAUGUUAACCACUAAACAUAUAAUAACAUGGCAUUUAUUAAAUUAAUUUCAUAAAAGGACAUAAUUACAAGAUACUAGCAAAAGUGCUCAGAAAAAUCUACAAAAAUUACAGCAGGACAAGCAUAGCAUCCUGAUAUCACCAUAAAAUUUUCAGAGCAAAUGCACAUGCCAAAAUUAAGAUAAGUAUUUAACAUGUAUCAAGGUGCUUAUUUCAUAAAUUAAGAAAGAUGGCUUAGAUAGUGUCAAACAACAGAUUUCAGAUUAUUUAAAUGUGACUAUUACCAUAAACAAGUUUGACACCAGAGUAGAGCACCAGCAUAAGUAUAAAUCAUUUACUAUGAUUUAAAUAAGAAAACAAGCCAUAUCACAAACAUAAAUUACAUAUCACAGAUACAGUACUCUAAAAAUCAUGAAAUAUUUAUCAUAGCAUUCUAAUGUCACUCAGAGACUACCAUAAAAUGGUCAUAACAAAAGGAGCAGUAUAUCAACAGAUAUGAAUUUACACAUGAAUAACAAGAUUAAAUCCUAAUAAUUAUUUAUCCCAGAAAACAUGGUACAUUUUAUAUUUUUACUAAAAACUAGCCAUCUCAAGGAACAUCACAAAAUUUGUUUCACAAUUUUUCGAUCUCAGAAACUGGAGAUAUGAUUUUUGCAAGAAUGCCAAAAAUCUGGAUUUGAAUAAAAGAGAGGAGAGGACCGUUGAGUCACUGACAGCGGGUCCCGCGCGUCAGCGACCCAGAGAACAGGGGACACCUUCGCCGGCGAAUGCUCGCCAAUGGUGAGCUUCUCCGACGGAUCCAAGGGCACCAACGUGCUCCUGGAGUGAUUCCGCAUCGAUGGAGGUAGGUAACACUAGGGUUACAGCGACGGAGAGGGGUCGCCAUCGGCCAUGGCAGCACGGCGGAGCUACCCCGGCUUACGCCGGCCAUCUCCGACCGGUAGAGCAUCGAAGAAGAGUGGCCUAAGCACGAGUGAGACAGCGCGGAGCUUUCUAGGUAGAAAUGCCUAACCCUAAUGGCUCCGGUGAGUAUGCUCACGUGCGAGGUAUCGUCGGCGUUUAGCACGACGGCGCGGCGACCGUGUUCCCGCACGACGGUGGCUCCAAGGCCGGAAUGGCGUGGCAUGAACCACCACCGAGACCUAAGCAAACCCUAACGUGACUCAGAGGGAAGAAAGGAGGCAAGAACGGAGCAGCGGUGAGGUUCGCCGGAAUCGGGGUCGCGACGGCCGUGAACCCGACGACGGCGAUUCGCAAAAUGCGGCUCACCUCGGGGAGAUCUCAUCCAACCAAGGGGUGGAGAAGAUGGAGGAGCUCGAGGCGGACUUGGAGACGCUCGGAGGCGAGGCGAGACGCAGAGGCGAGGGCGCGAGGAGCUCACGAAGCUCUCGGCGGCAAUGGCGAUGGUGCUUUCGCCGACUGAGUCGCGAGAGAGAGAAAGGAAGAGAGUGGACGAGCGCUGGGUGAGUGCGGGGCGUCGUGGCGUCCAUGAUGACGUCGUCGACCACACGAGCGGGGCCAACGCCGGCGUACGGGCGCCAAAUGGCAGCAAGGUGUCGCGCUGGGUGACCACGACGGCGAGCUCGGCUUCGAUUCAGACCAAACGAUGACCGACUGACAGUGCUACUUUGACAGAGAUUAUCUCCCAAACCAAGGUGAAUUAGGAGAUGGUGUAGUUGACAAAGUUGAAGUACUAGCUGAGUUCUACAACAUUAUCAACUAGAGCAAGAGCCAGAUCGGCCUGGAUUGAGAGAUAUGAAGCUCCCAAAAUCGAUCAAGCAAACUGGUGGCGCCAGGACUUAGCCAAAUUUGGUUAAGUGCCAAAACAGCCCCCAAAACUUCAUUGAAAGCACUUUUUGAUCAAGAUGUGAUCAUUUUCAUGAGAUGGCCAUAAAACAACUUUUUGUUCCUUAUAAAAUUUGCUACAACUUUGCUGUAGAAAGUUUUGACAUGCAAACACUUUAUGAAACUCUUUUUAAAAGCUUAAGCAAAAGAGGUUUCUAGGGCCUAUACAUGGAUGUAUGACUUAAGCACUUAAUUUGGAGAAGUGAUCAACAUAAACAUUAUUCCUAAGGUUGAGUUAAGCAUAGAUAAACUAAUUACCAAGGCAUAGCACAUAAGCAUGGGCAUGUCACAAACCAACACAAGCAUAGGAAACAUAAUUAAGCAAGUUAAAUCACAUUUUUGCAUAAAAUGACAUGACUCAAGGUAGAUGAUGAUCAUGAUAUGCUUAAGUAGAUGAUGAUGCUUGUUGACGGUCCUCAAUGCACAUAUUUAACCAUCAAUUAAUCAUAGAAAAGGAUCCAAAUGCAACCAACACCUAGACUUAGGGUUUUAUCUGAUAGAAUUCCACGAGUUUGGUGUUUGUCUAUUUCUGCAGGGGGUUAUCAGGAAAUAUGGAGGAAAGGCCCACACGUCGGGUUUACAUAGAGAUAUUAACGUGCCGCGCAAUUUUCUAUCAUCUAGAAGACUCCAGAAGCCAUGGGACCGAAGCGGAAGCCGAGAGGCCUCAGGGACAGGGCGCCCGCCCUAGUCCUGAGGGCGCCCGCCCUCCCCCCUGGACCAAUCAGGGUGAAGUUCGGGGAUCAUGCUCCACCGACCUAAUACUUCAAGGAAAACCACACGAUCAAUGUCGGUUUGAUCCGACGGCCCAGAUUCACUUGAAGGGACUAUAAAACCAGACCCCCCUGGCCCCUGGAGAUCAUACCUCUUCUACAGAAUCAAAGCUAGGGUUUCAAUUCUUCAUCCAAGUAGAGAGGAUCCCUCUAGUUCUUCUAGUUCUACCUCUAGUUCAUCUAGAUCUAGUUCUAGUUCAUCUAGUUCUAGUUCUAGUUCUAGUUCUUCUAGUUCUAGUUCUAGUUAGUUCUAGUUGUAAUCUAGAAAAUAGGGAGAGAGAAGAGGAGAGCGGAGGAGGAGCCGGAUCUGUCGGAUCUUCCUCAACAUUAUACUUUUGCAGCAACUGGUUCGUUCUUCAUCGUUCUCCAGGUUCUUCAAUUCAUAAUUCCUGAGUUCUCUAAUUACUUUUAUUUACAUUCAAGUUAUUUAUUGGAUUCCCGCUUGCAUCAAGUGCUCUAGUCUUUAUAACGCUAGAGUAGUAAUUAAUAGAUUAGACGUGGUGUUUAGUCUUCCGAUUACCUGGAAUUGCACCCAAUCCCACGGAUUGUUGUGGUAGCCCUAGGGUAGUGACAGCCCUAACGGUCGACGUAUUCCACCACGUUCGGAUUGGUGUUUGUAGGACCGUAGUCAGACCUUCCUAGCCCCCUUCUCAUCUCUUUCUGUGGUUAGUGCUCUGAUGUCCCGAUAUAGAUAAUCUUGAAGUAAUUCUUGAUUCUUAGAUCAACUAGAGAACUCUCAGGAAACUUCCUCUCUUCCCAUCAAAAAUAAUUAUAUAGUUAUCCUUGGGCGAUCUUGGAUCUUAAUUAGUACACUCACGUUCUCUGUGGAAAAUCGAUACUCUGGAAUACUCCCGGGUGAGGGCUACAUCGGUAUCCGUGCGCUUGCGGAUUUUUCUGUUUGCGUUUAAAAUACCCAACAAGCUUUCUGGCGCCGUUGCCGGGGAACGGUAGUUGUGCUAGUUUCGAACCAAGUCGUCCGUGUAUCCUUUUUCUUUUCCUUUUUUACCACACUCACCUUAUCAUUUUCACAAUACCACAUGGAUUUCACUCUAAGCAUUAAUGAGCAUGGAAUUUAUUUCAUAGCCACUUCAUUUACUCCAUGCUCAUAUGCAACAUCUUCACAAUCCAUUGGUCUCUCCAACAUCACCACAUUCGAGAUCUCCAACCCUCUCAUCCUUUCUAUUUAUAAAAACUUUAAAAGGGUGGUUGUCGAUGCAUAUGUCUAUAAUAAAUUUUGCAGAUCUCGUUGAGUUGAUCUUGAUAUAGGUUGGUGUUGGAGGGGAAACCACUUUGCCGACAUAAAUUGAUGGUUUCCCAAGGACAAGCUUAGUGUCCUAAAAUAAGCACUGAUCAGAUUGUAACAUGAGCUUUUAAUUAUUUGCAGCAUUACCUUGUGUGUUGAGCAUAUAAGGAUAAUUGUAAAAAUAUUCCUUCGGGUAUUCUUGUCACUAACUUUCUAGGAUUGGAGCAAGAAGAUCGGAUGAAUGACAAGCACAAGGUAUGUCCAACCAAUCAUCAUACAACAUUGAAUUAAAUUCAUCCAAACUUGAAUUUUGCAAAAUUCAAGCUUGGGGGAGUACUUUACAUAAAAACAUCCUUUGCCAUGUUGCUAUGUUGGUUGUCCCUACCUUUGAGACAUGCUCAAUUUGUUAAAUACUAAUCACACUACUUCAUCUCCACUUGAGUAGAUCUCUAUAAAUGCUCUCAUGCUACCUUUAUUUGCUUUAGUAUAUGUCUAGGUUUGGAGUACUUUCAUUUAUCUCUUAAUUAAGCAUGGUGCUUAGUUUAGGAAUCAUGAUCUUACUUCCAAAGGAUUUUAAAUUAAGCAUGAUGCUUAGGUUAAAAUGCCCUCCUAAAUCAAAUUAGACAUGGUGUCUAGGUUGAUCUUUGAGCCGAUAGUAUGCUAUAGUAGAUAUUGGAUAUUUUGUUGGACUAACCCCUGCAGGAAAACUUUCAAUAUCGACCUGGGAAAUCCUGAGAUAAACUCACAUUGGAGACGAAGAGAGAGACACAUGAUGGUUAACAAUUUACACAAGGAAGGCAUAGCUCACAAGAGAUGAUCCAUGGAGGGUGCCACAAACACGAUGCACAACCGCUAAGAGAGGAAAGCUUCCACAAGGAGAUACCGUACCAUCACUCUUCAAGUAAGGUAACAUCUUAAGGUACUUGACUAUGACUUUUAUAAGCUUCUCCUUGGUUCUAGCAUUCACAUGAAUAAAAGAGACAAACAUGUAUGAUUUACAACUCUAGAUUAACCAACCCAAUCGAUUCAACAUGUUUAGUCCUUCCACCUUUGUGAUCCCACACUCCUAAUCAUAUAAGCUAAAAUGUUGCACACUCAAUCUUUGGAAGAUAUAUAUAAAAAACAUAAGUAUAGAUAGAUUAUCUUUCCAUAAGGUUGAGCAAUCUAAUCUGACAAAUGUUAAAUACUACACUCAUGAUUUUAUUAUCCAUCAACUUUGUCUUGCUCACUAUGCUUGAGGUUAGAGAAGAACAAAUACACUUUUGGUUCUAUUGGUGUUUUCCACCAACAGGGCCCAUGCACUUGAUCUCUGCAUUGUCUCUAUGAGUAGGUACACUUCGAGCAAAAUAUGAAGGAGUUUUACAACUCCCAGACUCAACCAAGUGAAGAACCUAGAUCUACGAGCACAAACACACUGGUGAGACUGGACACUCAGGCAAUCACUGUCCUGGGAUGCUUGAGGACGUAACUACUGGAGCAACCCCGUCUUGGAAGUAAUCACUGACCUUCUGCCGGUCAAGUGAUACAAUCCAGGACGUCCCUUCAUCCCGAUCUCCAUCGGCAUGGUGGACUUCCUAGAAGCACUCUGCAACUUUGGCUCCAGCGUCAACAUUAUGCUCCGGGUACUCUAUGAAAAAUUCUUUACACAUCCUUUCCUAGAAACAACCAUGUGUUUGCAGCUUGCAGAUCAGACACUAAGUUUCCCAAAGGGAAUAUUGAAGAACCUCUACGUCCGAGUUGGUACCUUGGACGACCCAGCAGACUUCAUGGUGAUAGAGACUGGUAGUGAUGAGAGGGCACCCAUCAUCCUAGGGAGGCCAUUCCUGAACACCUCGGGAGCUAUCAUCUACGCUAGUGCUGCCAAGAUCAGUUUCUACAUCAAGGGAAGGAAGGAGGCGUUUUCCUUCAAGAACAAGACUACACAAAUCCCAGAGCAAUCCUGACAUGAACCAAGGAAAGGACCAACAGGAGGAACAGGAACAAGCAAAUGUGGACCGAGUCAGCUAAGGUAGUCAAUGCUGUUCAAGGUGGUCAAGAUCGUCGACUUAAGUCACCGUCCCUGACCAAAAAGGACGACAUAGUCACCUAUCAGCUCCUGUUCAAAACCAUGCCCCUAAAAACAACAUACAUUCAGCUCCAGAUGAUUUAAAGGUUAUUGACAUGGGAGAAGACAAGUAUGAUCCAUCCAUCAUCCUUAGGAGACCGUUCCUCACCACCGUUAAAGCAAUCAUCUACAUUGGAACUGGAGAAGUCCACAUGCACUUCCCCUCUGAGAAGGUACGCUGCUAUUUUACUGACCCUAACUAUAUAGUUGAAGACUCUAAGCAGGUCAGGGCAAGAAGAAGAUGACGCAACCGCAACCAAAGGAGGCAAAUCAUCAAGGACGGAUGGGCAGACUAUGAAGGAGAAGUCGUAAGGUCUGAAGACAUACAGCUUGAACAGAACUGUCCUAAGGAGACCGUAGCACCGAGUCAGGUGUGGAGAGAGAAGAUAGUUAUACAUGAAGACCAAGCGCUGCCGGAACCACCGACUACGCCAUCCAGCGAAUUCCACGACAACUAAGAAAACGGAGAGUCCCGUUCGGAGGACUUAAAAGCACCAAACGCCUUGCCAAGAGGUAAACUUGGUAGUUAUCUUUUUCCUUUCAAAUUAUUUAAAAUAGUUUGCUUAGUUAAUCAGGUUCACAUCAUCUUAAAAAGAAAAUAAAAAUGUUAAAAAUAGUAAGCCCCAUGUGAGUAUGCUCAUGGCAUAAAACCCAUAAGUACAUUCACUGUGGUGGCGUAAAAAUAAAUAUAUCUUCCUGUCCUAUAAAAAUGAAAAUAUAAAUAAGAUUAUGAUCCUACUAAAGAGAGUAACAUUUAUUGAGGAGGCUCAACAUGAUAAAGGCUAGAUAUUUAUGCUAACACUUAACUAGUUCCACAAAGCUUUGUUGUCUAUUUGAGCUCCACAGAAUUUAAGGAUCAAAGAAGACUAGCAGACGGAGGACAUCCUAAUCGCUAUCAGGGUGCUACCGACAUUCAAAUACACCUCCGCCACCUGCUAGCUACAUCAGAAGAAAUUACAUCAAAAUCCAGCUUGGGGGAGAGCACCCCCAUUUAUCCAGCUAAGUAUUCUACUCACGUUUAUACUUUACUCUAUUAAUAAAAAGAUGCAUAAUCAUAAAAACCCAAAUAAAGAUUUUGUGCUUAUAUAUAUAUCUUUGCUUAGCUUGCUAAAUAAAUAAAUAAAUAAAGUUUGCUAUGAACCCUCAUGAUAAGCUCUCACAUGGAAAUGAUGAAUAGUUGCUCUGCCAUGAUUAGUUAUCAAAAUUGAAAUCUCUCUCAAGUUUAGGCAUAACUGUUAUUAAUUAAGAUUUGCUCUAAACCUGAACUUGUGGAGAGAGUACUUGAUCUAAAGUCUAAGUCGUUAACGGAUAUGAUAUGGGAAGGUUGAGCUGCUGUUUAUCUGUUCCUAGAGAUGCUAGAAUUCUGGAGAAUUUUAUCUUUGAAAAUCUUUAAAAUGUUGCAUGAUGAGUUCCUGUAUGAUGAGAGUUUAAAUUCCUACCACAGCCAUAUAUACAUGCUUGCUAGACUAUGAACCACACAUUUACUUUACUACUUAUGAGCAUUGAGUGUGGUCAAGCUGUGUAGACCCUUAGGAGCUUGUCAUGUGGUUAAAAUCAAGAUUCACUUGCACGUUCACUCAUACAUGCUGCUUCUACUCCGGAAGUACGCAUCCACAUAUAUCCAUCCAUUUCCAUCUCGAGAACCACCCAAAAAUAUUCUACUCCUAAUCCGGGAGAGAAUAGCCAAAAAUAUUUCUAUUUUUCCCCUAUGAAAUAAAUGCUCAAGUUAUCUUGUUACUACCACUUGCGAUAUUAUCUCAUGAGAUGAGUGCUCUAAUAAAAAAAAGAAAAAAAAAAGAGAUACGAGGAAAUAAAAAGGGGCAAGUGCCCGAAACCUCGAAAAAAAAAGUGAGACGAGAGGUAAAAAUAGACAAGUGUCCGAUAGUAGAAUUAGGGGUACAAGAUACCCACCUGAGAGAAAAGAAAAAAAAGAAAAAAAAAGAAAAUAUAGAGCAUCUCAUUCUCCUCAAAAAGUUUCAAAAGAGCAAGAAAGGUAUGUAUCCCCUCAAAAGAGCACAAGUAGAAUUAGACUUUCACCAUUGUUUUCACCAUUGUUAUCACCAUCAUUACCAUACACCAUUCAUUCGCCACACAUUCACAUCUUGAUUUGACUUAUUGACUUGUUCUUCUGGAUCCAUAGUUUGACUAUGCAAUAAAUGUCUUGUAAGUAUGUAUUAGCUGUCUCCCACCUAUGAGCUCCAGAUAUCAAAAGCCUUAUUAGAGUAGGGUGAGAGAGAAGGCAAUGUCACUAUGCCUUAUACUACAAAUACCACAUACUUUGAGAGAAGGCAUAUACCAUUACUGCCUUGGUAAGGAUCCAGAAAUACCUCAAAAGAGAGACUAGAGAGAGUCAUACAAGGAAUCUCUGAGUUUUAUUUGAAAAUCUGCAAAAACUCCAGAACUAUAGCUGAUCAAGAAUAAGAGACAUGGUGCUUGACUAGACCGUUCUAUCUUUUAACUACUCAAGACAGAAGUGUCGGUUACAAGUCCCAUGGUGAAAGGUAAAUGAGUAAGUUUUAAGUCUUAACAGUUCACUCUAACCAGAGAUGAGAUCUUGUUUAAACGCAUGUGUAUCCUUAAGUUAUGAAACCACUGCAGAAACUCUUGAGUUAAUCUUUACUCAGGGACGAGCAAAGGUUAAGCUUGGGGGAGCUUGUUGACGGUCCUCAAUGCACAUAUUUAACCAUCAAUUAAUCAUAGAAAAGUAUCCAAAUGCAACCAACACCUAGACUUAGGGUUUUAUCUGAUAGAAUUCCACGAGUUUGGUGUUUGUCUAUUUCUGCAGGGGGUUAUCAGGAAAUAUGGAGGAAAGGCCCACACGUCGGGUUUACAUAGAGAUAUUAACGUGCCGAGCAAUUUUCUAUCAUCUAGAAGACUCCAGAAGCCACGGGACCGAAGCGGAAGCCGAGAGGCCUUAGGGACAGGGCGCCCGCCCUAGUCUUGAGGGCGCCCGCCCUCCCCCCUGGACCAAUCAGGGUGAAGUUCGGGGAUCAUGCUCCACCGACCUAAUACUUCAAGGAAAACCACACGAUCAAUGUCGGUUUGAUCCGACGGCCCAGAUUCACUUGAAGGGACUAUAAAACUAGACCCCCCUGGCCCCUGGAGAUCAUACCUCUUCUACAGAAUCAAAGCUAGGGUUUCAAUUCUUCAUCCAAGUAGAGAGGAUCCCUCUAGUUCUUCUAGUUCUACCUCUAGUUCAUCUAGAUCUAGUUCUAGUUCAUCUAGUUCUAGUUCUAGUUCUUCUAGUUCUAGUUCUAGUUAGUUUUAGUUGUAAUCUAGAAAAUAGGGAGAGAGAAGAGGAGAGCGGAGGAGGAGCCGGAUCUGUCGGAUCUUCCUCAACAUUAUACUUUUGCAGCAACUGGUUCGUUCUUCAUCGUUAUCCAGGUUCUUCAAUUCAUAAUUCCUGAGUUCUCUAAUUACUUUUAUUUACAUUCAAGUUAUUUAUUGGAUUCCCGCUUGCAUCAAGUGCUCUAGUCUUUAUAACGCUAGAGUAGUAAUUAAUAGAUUAGACGUGGUGUUUAGUCUUGCGAUUACCUGGAAUUGCACCCAAUCCCACGGAUUGUUGUGGUAGCCCUAGGGUAGUGACAGCCCUAACGGUCGACGUAUUCCACCACGUUCGGAUUGGUGUUUGUAGGACCGUAGUCAGACCUUCCUAGCCCCCUUCUCAUCUCUUUCUGUGGUUAGUGCUCUGAUGUCCCGAUAUAGAUAAUCUUGAAGUAAUUCUUGAUUCUUAGAUCAACUAGAGAACUCUCAGGAAACUUCCUCUCUUCCCAUCAAAAAUAAUUAUAUAGUUAUCCUUGGGCGAUCUUGGAUCUUAAUUAGUACACUCACGUUCUCUGUGCAAAAUCGAUACUCUGGAAUACUCCCGGGUGAAGGCUACAUCGGUAUCCGUGCGCUUGCGGAUUUUUCUGUUUGCGUUUAAAAUACCCAACAAUGCUUAUGUUAUGCAUGUGAUUAAUGCAACCAUAACACUGGGGUGUUACAUUUGGCGUAUCGACAAAACAAUUUUUGGGUUUCAUGGUGCAUCAGAGGGGGAUUGAGAUUAGGAGGAGAUCUGUUGAUGCAAUCAACAAAGUAGUUGCUCCUACCGAUAAAACUGAGCUUCAGUCCUUGAUCGGCAAGAUUAAUUUUAUCAGACGAUUUAUAUCCAAAUUGUCGAGUAAGAUUCGAGCUUUCAGCCAUUUGCUUAAAUUGAAAGCCAAUCAAGAAUUUGUAUGGGGAAAAGAGCAACAAUUGGCUUUGGAUGAAAUUAAGAAUUAUUUGGCAAAUCCUCCAGUAUUGGUUCCACCUCAGCAUGGAAAGCCUUUUAGGUUAUAUUUGUCGACCGAUGAUGCGGUUAUCGGUUCAGCUCUCAUUCAAGAAUUUGAAGGAAAAGAAUGUGUAAUUUAUUACUUAAAUAGGAGAUUGGUAGAUGCGGAGACAAGGUAUUCGGCUAUUGAAAAAUUAUGCUUGUGCCUGUCUUUUCUUGUAUUAAGUUGAGACAUUAUUUGCUAUCGGCCGAAUGUACUGUCAGAUGCAAUGAUGACAUGGUCAGAUACAUGUUGUUGAUGCCGAUUAUGAGUGGUAGAAUCAGCAAAUGUAUACUAGCAUUAUCAGAAUUUGACUUACGUUAUGAAUCGGCUAAGGCAGUUAAGGGACAGAUCGUGGCCAAUUUUGUUACUCAGCAUUGUGGUUUGGUGGGUGCUUUGGAGAUUGCUCAUUGGACACUCUUCUUUGAUGGAUCUACAUGUGAUCAAGGGGCAGGUAUCGGCAUAGUAUUGAUUUCUCCCUGGGGAAAGAAAUUUGAAUUUUCUUUGCCGAUUGUUGCUACAUCAACGAACAAUCAGGCUGAGUACCAAGUCCUAAUCAAAGGAUUAGAGUUAUUAAAGGAAGAUCAUGCCGAUGCUGUCAAAAUCUUUGGAGAUUCUAUGCUUGUCAUAAAUCAAUUGGCUGGGAUUUACGAGUGCCGAAGUGAGAUUUUGAUAGCAUAUUACGAAAGGUGUUUACAAUUGUUAAAGGAAUUCAAGGAUUUCCGCUUGGAGCAUAUUCCUCGAUUACAUAAUGAAGAAGCUAAUCGGUUAGCUCAACACGCCUCAGGAUAUCAACCUAUCUUGGAAGUGCUAUCGGUAAUCAGUAUCGAUGACUGGAGAAAAGAAAUUAUUGAUUAUCUAAAAGAUCCAUCUAGGAAAGUUGAAAGACGUGUUAGAUUUCAAGCUACUAAAUAUGUACUCCUUGAGGAUGAAUUAUAUUAUCCAACAAUAGAUGGAGUGUUGCUUAGAUGUUUAAGUAAUGAUGAAUCCAAAAACUUGAUGGGUGAAAUUCAUGAGGGGGUAUGUGGAGCACAUCAAUCGGCUUUUAAAAUGAAGUGGAUGAUUAGAAGGAAUGAAUAUUAUUGGCCGACUAUCCUUGAGGAUUGUUUCAAAUAUUUCAAAGGGUGUCAAGGAUGUCAGAAGUUUGGUAAUAUUCAAAGGGCACCUGCGUCAGCUAAGAAUCCUAUUAUUAAACCUUGGUCAUUCUGGGGUUGGGCUAUUGAUCUCAUCGGUCAAAUUUAUCAACCAUCGAGUAAAGGGCAUAAGUUUAUCCUUGUUGCCACUAAUUAUUUCACUAAGUGGGUUGAGGCUAUCCCUUUUAGGAAAGUAACAUCGACCAAUAUGAUUGAUUUUGUGAAGGAACAUAUUGUUUACCGAUUUGGCAUUCCUCAAACAAUCACUACCGAUCAAGGUACUAUGUUUACAUCAGGAGAGUUUGAUGAAUUUGCAAUCGGUAUGGGGAUUAAGGUGAUGAAUUCUUCUCCUUACUAUGCUCAAGCCAAUGGAUAGGCCGAAGCUUCCAACAAAGGGAUUAUUAAGCUUAUUAAACAGAAGAUUGAGGAAAAUCCUAGGCGAUGGCAUACUCUGUUAAAUAAAGCCUUAUGGUCAUGUUGGAUGGCGUGUCACGGUGCAACCAAAGUGUCACCUUAUCAAUUGGUAUAUGGACAUGAUGCAGUACUACCUUGGGAAAUUAAAACUAGUUCUAGGUGGAUAUUUUCUCAGGAUCAAUUAACUACUGCUGACUAUACCACUCUGAUGAAAAAUGAGUUGGAAGAUUUAGCAGGACAUCGGUUAAGAGCUUUAAUUAGCAUAGAAGAAAAUAAAAAAGAGAGUGGCUAAGUAGUAUGAUAAAAAGGUAAAAUCCAAGGAGUUUGCUGAUGGGGAUUUGGUCUGGAAGUUAAUUCUACCAAUUGGGACUAAAAGUUCAAAAUUUGGAAAAUGGUCUCCUAAUUUGGAAGGUCCUUAUCGGAUAAGUCGAUCUGCCCCAGGCAACGCUUAUAUUUUAGAAAGUCUCAAAGGAGUUGAAUUCCCCAGGGCAUUAAACGGAAAAUAUUUAAAAAGAUACUACCCCAGUAUCUAGGUUGAUGCAUAAAAGUUUAAGUGCCGAUACCAGUCCUAUCGGCUGAACAAAAUGACAAUGUAUCUGGAUCAACGCAUUGGAAGUUUUGGUGCCAAUAACAAUCCUAUCGGCUGGAUCAAAUGCUGAUGUUUUCAAAAGAACUGAUAAGCCAUACUGCCAAUGAAGAGAUUUACAAGUUUAACAAAGUUUGGAUAGCCGAUAUCGCACGCAGGCUAAUUUGAUUAGCUUCCUCUAUCUCUUUGGUAUCUUCAUCGGCUGAGCCUUCCACUGGUUUCAAUCUCUUCUUUAUUUGCAAUGCCUUGCGGGCUUGGGCAUCCCUCUCCUGCUGAAGAUCUCUGAGUACGUCGGGUAGUUGACUUUCCUCCUAUUGAGCUUGGGCCAAAGCUUCUUCUACUUGUUUGAGUUCAGCAAGCAGAGCCUCUCUCUUUGCCGAUAAAUCAGAGAUUUUCUAUUUUAGUUCAACACCUAAGGAUUGCAAAAUGUCGAUGCUCUUAUGCUUCUCAUCGGCAGCACGCUUCACUUGCAAAAUCUCUUCUUUGAGUUGGGCGUGGGCGGUUCUAUCUGCAAGGCGCUGAACGGCCUUUUGAUACUAAAGUUGGCGGCUCUCCAGAUGGGUGGCUUGAAAAAGUAUCUCCACAACAUCGGCAGGAAUCUUAUCGCGAAGACCCUUAAAGAUGGUUUUGGCCAGAUCAGAGUCAUCUACUAGCAGAGUUGUAUCCUGCUGCAAUAGAGCUAGUAAAUUUUCUAGCUUGGAUUUGAUCUCUACCGGUGCAAUUCCGAGCGCCAUUGAAGAACUUGCCUCUUCACUAUCAUCAUCAUAGAUGUCGAUGGCAAAGGAGAACAGGCUAUCAGGAGAGUCUUGUUCCUAGAAGCAGAGGAAAAUAAAUUAACUAGAGUUAAGUACCGAUAAUACAAUGUCUAGUGGAUCGGGUAAGUUUACUUGUUUCAGAGCAAUUUCUUGUCUCUGACUUGGAGAUGUGGCUUGCACUAUGACUUGAUCGGUUGGGGCUGCUAGUGGAAUAUCUUCAACUGAAAUUGCCAAAGGUGAUGAUGGUAUUUAUAAAGGGUCCAUCGGUAAUAAUUUUAUGAUCGGUACUUUACCUUGAGGAGAGAUGAUGAUCGUCUGUUCAGGAGGAACGGCCGAUGAAGUACCUACGUCAACUGGAUCGGUGACCUGCUCAGAUACAUCGACCAGGUCUGCUUGCGUCUGGGGCACUGGAUGAGGUGGAGAAGAGGGUGCUGCUUGGAUCUGGGGUUGUCACACCCAUAUUUUAAGAACAAAAUAGGAUGCAUAAAAGACUCAUAUGUGCCCCAGGAAUAGUCGCACACAUAAGUAGACAAAUCUCAAAUGUACCAUCGCAGUGUUUAUUACAUAGCAGAACAUAAUAAAUCAUAUAGUCUUAUACAUAAAUGAUAGCAAGAUGUAAACAACGCUCUCGACGGAAGCUCCACAUAGGGACACUAUUGACUGGUUGACUCCAAACCUAGUACUCAUAACGGUAGUCCUCAUUCCAAUCAUCAUCAUUAGCAUAACCUGGGUGUUGGGAAAUUGCAAGAGUGAGCACAUAUCGUACUCAACAAGUAUAACCAGGGGUUCAUGAGGCUCAAAUAGCUGACGCUGGUUUGACUUUAUUUAGCUUUUAAUAGUGGAUAGCAUAUUCAUAAUUUAAAUAGCAAUUUUCAAGGUAGCAUAAAUAAUCCAUUAAUCACAUGAUCAAGUGUAAGCAUAAUUAAUCUCAUAGCAUAAAUGAUAAUCAAAUGAACAUAAUAACUUAACAAGCUCAUCGUCGUCGUAGCAAGAACCCCCAAGGCCGCUCAUAACCGUAAGCAUGGCUAGUAUACCAGUUUUAACACCCUGCAGAGGUUGUACAUCUUUACCCAUGAGUCAUGAUUUACCCUUUCGCCCGAGGUAGCUAGUCUCUUCACCCCCUUCCUAGGGAGGUCGGCAGGGAUCACUAUGAAGCCUUUCAAAAGUUUGUCUAACAUGUUAGGGCCGCAAGGUUUCCUUUGCGCGCAGAUAUAGAUACCCCCUUCCGAAUGGCACAAUGACGCGCAACCUAUACACAUAGGGAUAGGGGCUCGCACCCAAAACGGUUCAGCCCCUCCGCCCUUUCGGGUCAUGCUGAGCUAAAGCCACAGCCAUUAUAGCCCUCAUGGUUGCACUGUUGUCCCGGUGAUCACUUACAGACAAGAUCUCAUAUAGUUAUUUGUCAUCAUUUAACGUUCAUUGCAUAGCUAUUAAUCAUCUUACAAGAUCAUGGAUUAUAUCAAGCACUAGCACAUCAGCACCAAAUGCAUAUCAAGUAGGUAACAAGGAAUCCAGGUAACAAUCAUCUAUGAUUUUGCUAAGGUCGACAAUGUGAUAGCAUGCAUAUGAUAUAUAUGUGUAGUUAUAAGUGAAUAGGUAACAAGGAUGAUCCCAAGUUAUACUUGCCUUGAUCAAAGCUCUCCUGAGCCUACUGGUCUUCAAAAGCUUGGUCUUGAUCACCAAUGUACGGCUCACCGUCUAUUUCCAAACAUCAAUCAACAACAUGCAAUCCAAUGUAGACAAUCAUACACAAGGCAAACAAGCUAUAAUUAGAACAUUACACCAACUGUAAGAAAUCAAAGAUAAAAUUUUAUGAAAAUAUUCUACGCAGCGCUACGAUCACACAAACGUAAAGUUCACGAAAAUCGGAAUUAAAACGUAGAAGAUAUGAAUUUUCUAAGAUUUCCUAUAGAGAAAUAAUUAACUAAAUGCUACUGCAGAAAUAAAAAGUUUCAAAACAGUAAACUAAAACUUCUAACAUGUAGAGCUCGUAAAUAUGAAUCUAACGAAAUUUGAAUGGACAAAAACAGAGUUGAAAUGAAUAUUUUAUGAGGAAAAUAAACCCAAUGGCAAAACUGUAAAUACUGAAAAACGCCUUUUUCCUCAAACCGACUAUAAGCUUUUAGAAUCAAAACACGUAAUCUCCUCUAGGGCACCAUGGACUGCGGGUCGAUUUCCAAAUUCACCAGGGGAUCUUUAUGAAAAAGUGCAGCGAAGGGGUAUGUUCUGUUUUGGGCCCUUAGAUCUUGAUCCAACGGCUCGGGCGCGUCCAGGGGGCCAGUGGCGGCGGGCCGGCCGGAGUUGCGCCUCCCCGCGGCGGCGCCAUGGGAGUGCUCGCCGGAGUCCACCGAUUCCUUGAUUCUGAGCGCCAAUCAACGAAAGAAAAACACCGGGAGGGCGAGAAGCUCACCGCGACCUCGCUGGGACCCUUUGCUUGGUCCGAGAGGUGAUGAAAACAGCUCGCGGCGUGCGGCGGUGGACUUGGCUCUCGGCGAGAUUCAAACCGUGCAUGGGCUGGCGUCUAGGGCUUGGUUUCCGUGGCGAGCGUGGAAAACAACAUGCGGGGCGAUGCUGGGGUUUAAAUAGGGGUCGAUAUGGCAAGAAAUCUCAGAGUUUUCGGGUUGGAAAGUUAUUAGCUCGGGUCGGUUAUCCCCAACUGAGCCCUGUUCGUCCUCGGCGCGAGAAGGAAGAGGAACGGCGCCCGCCAGGUGGGGUCGCCUCGCCAGCGAGAGGGAGGUGGGGCCUGCUGGUCAGAGAGAGAAGAGGGGAAGGGAGCUGCGCUGGGCCGCGGCUGGCCUGCUCGGCUGGGCCGGGAUGGGCCGUGCGCUGGGGGACAGGGUGCUGGGCUGCGGCCUACGGCCAAGACGAGAGGGGAGAGGCGUUUGGCUGGGGUUUUCCUUUUUUUUCUUUUUUUAAUCUCUUUUCUAUAGCUUUUGAGAAGAGUUUUUAAAUCCUUUUGGAGAUAAACAGAAUACAUAGACAAAAAGCAAACAAGCGAGUAAAUAAAUAAAUUAAUUUCAGCAUGAAUGCACAACCUUGUUUCUAAACUUAUAAUGAAUUUUAAUUUUGACAAAAACAUUUUAUUUACUAGAUUAAAUGCCCACAAAAUUGCUUAAAUAAAUCAAAUUAAAUCCUAUUAUUUGAAAACCAAAUUUUGGGUGUUACAAACUCUACCACCCUUAAAAGAAUUUCGUCCUCGAGAUUGAAAGGUGCUUACUCAAACAAGUAUGAUUAUGAUUUCCUCAGGUCAUCCUCUCUUUCCCAAGUUGCCUCUGCUUCCGAUUACCAAUUCCACUGCACUUUGCACAUUCUGAUGACCUCACUUCUGGUGACUCUCUCAGUUGUCUCCAAUAUUCUGACCGGAUAUUCUUCAUAAGUGAGAUCACCUUUAACAGAAAGCUCUUCCAAUGGUAUUUGCUCCUCUGGUACACGCAAACACUUCUUAAGUUGUGACACAUGGAACACAUCAUGCACACCAGAUAAACUUUCAGGAAAUUCUAAUUGAUAUGCUACUUCUCCACGCCUUUCCAAUACUUUAAACGGACCAACAUACCUUGGAGCUAGCUUUCCCUUCAUAUUAAACCUCUUCACACUCCUCAUUGGUGAUACUUUCAGGUAUACAUAAUCACCCACCUCAAAAGCCAGCUCUCUCCUACGCGUACCUACAUAUCUUUUCUGACGAGAUUGAGCAACUCUCAAGUUAUCCCGAAUGGACCGCACUUGUUAUUCUGCAUGUCUAAGCACAUCUGUCCCAAACACCUGAGUUUCUCAUGUCUGAUUCCAAAACAAAGGUGUCCUGCACUUCCGACCAUACAGUGCCUCGAACGGUGCCAUCUUAAGACUUUGCUGAUAGUUAUUGUUGUAGGAGAAUUCUACAUAUGGCAAACUCUUGUCCCAACUAGUUCCAUACUGCAAAGCACAAGCUCUCAACAUAUCCUCCAGUAUCUGAUUGAUCCUCUCAAUCUGUCCAUCUGUCUGUGGAUGAUAUGCUGUACUAAAAUUUAACUUUGUUCCCAAGGAAUCAUGCACUGCUUUCCAAAAGUGAGAUGUGAAUUGAGUACCCCUAUCUGACACAAUCUUCUUAGGUACUCCAUGCAAACAAACAAUUCUCUGCAUAUAUAACUCUGCCAGUCGGUCUCCACUAUAUGAAGUUUUGACAGGUAUGAAAUGAGCAACUUUGGUUAAACUAUCCACUAUCACCCAUAUUGAGUCAUACCCUCCUUGUGUAUGAGGUAAACCCACUAUGAAAUCCAUGCCUACUUCUUCCCACUUCCAUUCAGGAAUCUUCAUUGGUUGCAACAGUCCAGCUAGCCUCUGAUGUUCAGCUUUCACUCGCUGACAAGUGUCACACAAAGCAACAUACUCAGCUACAUCUCUCUUUAAACCAUAGCACCAGUACUUCUGUUUCAGAUCUAGAUACAUCUUAGUGCUACCAGGGUGAAUGGAAUAUGCUGACUCAUGAGCCUCUCUCAGAAUCAUAUCAUGAAUAGCCUUCACUUCAGGAACACAUAUCCUUUUUCCAAACCACAAUACACCAUUGUCAUCUAUUCUGAAUCCUGGUGCUUUGCCUAGUACCACAUUCUGUGCUAUCUCCUUUAGUUUCUCAUCUUCCAACUGUCCUUUCAAUAUCUCUUCCUCUAGAGUAGGAGUGACCUCAAUUUCCAUCGCAUUUACUACAAUUCCCCAGAUCAAAUAUGCAAAUUCAGCACACAACUCCUCAGAUUCAGGUGUCGCCCGAAGCUCAUUAGCAUAUUUCUUCUUGCUAAGUGCAUCGGCUACGACGUUCACCUUUCCAGGAUGAUAAUGCACUUCCAAAUCAUAAUCCUUUAUCAGUUCCAACCAUCUUCGUUGCCUCAGAUUCAGAUCUGUCUGGGUGAAGAUAUACUUUAAACUCUUAUGAUCAGUAUAUAUGUCACUCUUAUGCCCAAUCAAAUAGUGUCUCCAAAUCUUCAAUGCAUGCACCAUAGCUGCUAACUCUAGAUCAUGAGUAGGAUAAUUCAGUUCAUGUUUCCUCAACUAUCUAGAUGCAUAAGCAACAACUCUACCUUCUUGCAUAAGGACACAACCCAAACCCAGACGAGAAGCAUCACAAUAGAUAGAGAAACUCUUACUCAGAUCUAGCAAUACCAACACAGGUGCAGUAGUCAAUCUCUUCUUAAACUCCUCAAAACUAGCUUGACACUUAUCAAACCAUACAAACUUAGCAUUCUUCUCCAAUAGAGCAGUCAUAGGCUUUGCAAGCUUUGAGAACCCUUCAAUGAAUCUACGAUAGUAACCAGCUAAACCUAGAAAACUAUGAAUUUCACUUACAUCUGUAGGUGGUUUCCAAUUCAGCACAUCUUUCACCUUACUAGGAUCCAUUGCAAUACCACCAUGAGAGACAACAUGACCAAGAAAAGAAACUUCUUCCAACCAAAACUCACAUUUACUACGCUUAGCAUACAGCUUAUGUUCUCUAAGUUUCUGUAAGACCAAUCUCAGAUGUUCAGCAUGUUCUUCCUUGGUUUUAGAGAAUACCAGAAUAUCAUCAAUAAAGACCACCACAAACUUAUCAACAUACUCCAUAAAUACUUUAUUCAUCAUGUAGAUAAAGUAAGCUGGUGCAUUGGUCAAACCAAAAGACAUAACUGUAUACUCAUACAACCCAUACCUUGUUGUGAAAGCUGUCUUUGGUAUAUCUGAAUUCUGAAUCUUCAAUUGAUGAUAACCAGAACGCAAAUCAAUCUUAGAGAACACACAAGUGUUGACGGUCCUUAAGUAUCAAAUUUAAUUAUCAAAUAAAUAAAGAAAAGGAUCCAAAUGAAAUCAAGAUCUAGUCUUAGGGUUUUAUCUGACAGAAUUCCACGAGUUUUGGUGUUUGUCUAUUUCUGCAGGGGGUUAUCAGGAAAUAUGGAAGAAAGGCCCACAUGUCAGGAUUACGUAAAGAUAUUAACGUGCUGCGCAAUUAUCUUACAUCUAGAAGACUCCAGAAGCCACGAGACCGAAGCGGAGGCGAAACGGGGCCUGACCCUGGGCGGCCGCCCAGUUGGUCAGGGCGCCCGCCCUGCCCCUGAGUCCAAUCAGGACUCUACUUUGCGGGAGAUCUCCACCGACCUAAAGGAUGAAUCUAAACCGUACAAUCUAUGUCGGUUUGAUCCAAGGGUCCAUAUUCACUUGGAGGGACUAUAAAACCAGACCCCCUGGCCCCUGGAGGAGGGAGCCUCUCAACCCUAAUUCAUUGUUCCAUCAAGGGAGAAGAAGCCUCUGAUCAAGAUUAGAGCCACCACAUCAAUUAGAUAUCUAGAUUAGCAUAGCUACAUAGGAUUAGAACUAGAAGGAGUCAAUCUUCGAUUGGUUUCCGGCUCUGUCAAGAGGAUUCUUGGUAAUUCUCUAAUUGUGCUUCUAAUUGCUUUCUAAUUAUCUUUGUUUUUCAAUAUUAUGAAUAUGACUUUGUUCUACUUCAAUAUAUUGCUUAUGACUUUGCUCUACUUGUUUAUAUUCAAGAUUAUAUUGUUCUUAGUUUAUCAUGGUUAUGUACUUGGCUUAGUUAGAUACGAUCUAUAUACAUGCUUAGGAUCAUAUAGCGUUUAUCAAUCGGAUCCAUGGGUAAAUGAUAGAUAUUGUGUAGGCGUGGUGCUUAUACCGUAUUUAUCUGCGAUUGUACCCAAUAUGCCAGAUCGUGGGGUGGUUCGUGAUAGUGACAGCUUCAUUGAUUCUUAUAUAGUCCCCCUCUCGUGUAUUGGGCUGGCAGAGCAACAUUAUUAUAGGGGAGUGAUUGCUAUGUUUCUCAUAUUCCUUGCUAAUAUCACUAUGCAUGGGCGUAGUCUUGUCUCACAAUGAUUGCUAAGUAUGCUUGCACUAACUAUAAUAAUGCUAGACUAUAUAGUUAAGAAUAACUUAGGGAAUAUUCUUGUAGUUCAUUCUAAUACCAUGCUAAUGACUUUCUAGAGUAUCUAAUUGAGGUGCUUAUCAUAUUUAUUAUGUGGCUAGAUCAGAUUAGUUAUCCUUGUCACUAUUAUUAUUUCAUAUAUCUUUUAUGUGACACUUAUCCCUGUAUGAAGAGUUAGAUAUAAUGUUCUCAAUUAUACAUGCAAUGAUAGAUGCUCAAUCUCAUAUUCUAUUCUGUAAUCAAUAUUGAUGAUUGCUAAUCCCUUCCCAGUGGUAAAAAUAUAAAUAACGAUACCUGGAAUACUUCCCGGUUAAAAUGCUGCAUCGGUAUUAAUCUGUGCGCUUGCAGAUCCCAUUCAUUAUUUAUUUAGAAGAGCAAUUGCAUAUUUCAAUACCGCGUCUCUCAUGUCAUGCUGGGGAUGACAACUUGGCUUAAGUGGUGUGAGGGAUAGGUUUGGCAUUUUUGGCACCGUUGCUAGAUUUAGAACUUAGUCUACUUUUAGUAAUGAUGUUAAGAAUACCCAACAAGCAUUUUUGGCGCCGUUGCCGGGGAAGGUUGAUUACUAAUCAGGAAUGGAAUAAAGGAUUUUGAGUUAUCAUUCGCAUCACUAAUAUGAUUGAGCUUAUCUAUUCUCUCAUACAGUUUUACCCCGAUAUUUUCUAUUUUUAUCUUAUGCAGGGGAAUGUAUGAAUAGAAGACAUCUUCCAGGAAAUUUUGUUGACAAUCCUGAAGCAUUAUUCAAGAAGACAAGAGCCAAGCUAAAGAAAUCAUCAACACUUCAGCAAGAAGCUUCAUCCAAUCAAGAAGAUCACCGGAACUUGUCUUCAGAGUUCGAAGCCAUGGCAAACAAAUCAAUCCGCGAGUUCUCAGCUCCCACUACGGACAACAUCCGCACUGGACCUGCUGCAGAGAUCGAUGGCAACUUUGAGCUCAAGCCUGGACUUAUCAACAUGGUGCAAUCCAACCAGUUCUGUGGGAAGGCACACGAAGAUGCUAGUGCUCAUUUACAACACUUCCUGGAGAUUUGCAACACAUUCACCAUACAAGGAGUUUCCAAAGAUGCUAUACUACUUCGCCUCUUCCCAUUCUCACUGUUAGGAAGAGCGAAGCAGUGGUUCUACGCUACAAAGGAGAAGAAUACUACCUGGGCACUCUGCUCAACAAACUUCCUGGCUAAGUUCUUUCCCAUGGGCAAGACCAAUGCUCUCCGUGGGAAGAUUACAAGUUUUCAGCAACAAAAUGAUGAAUCUGUUCCAGAAGCAUGGGAGCGCUUUCAAGACUACAUCCUAGAAUGUCCCCAUCAUGGAAUGGAGAGUUGGCUAUUGAUGCAGACGUUUUAUCAUGGGCUCGGCAACAGUGCCCGAGAAACCAUGGAUGCUGCAGCUGGAGGAGCAUUCUUAUCACUUACUAUACCACAAGCCACAGCUCUUGUGGAGAAGAUGGCGUCCAAUCAAAGCUGGAAUGAAGAGAGGAGCCAGACACGCAAGAGAGGUGGAGGUAUGCAUCAGCUGUAGGAGGUAGACAUGCUGUCUGCAAAGCUAGACCUGCUCAUGAAGAAGCUCGAUGAUAGAGCUGGAGACAAGAAAGAAGUUAUGCACAUCUACGACUCUCACAUGACUUGUGAGGAGUGUGGAGACACUAGACACUCAGGCAAUCACUGCCCUGAGAUACUUGAGGAUGUGAACUACAUCAACAACAACAACAACAACUACUACUACAACCGUCCUCAACAAAAUCAAGGUUGGAAUCAACAGAGGCCUAACUACUCAGGUAAUUAUCAAGGUAACAAUUCUUACAACAAUAACAAUAAUUUUCCACCUUUGAGAGAGUUAGUAUCUAAUCAAGGAAAGCUAAUGGAUAACCUAUCUAAGAAAUUGGCAUCUAAUGAUAAAAUGCUAGAAAAUAUAAAUAAUAGAAUGGAUAAUUUCUCUACUGCCAUCAAGAAUCAAAUUAGCUUUAAUAAAAUGAUUGAAUCUCAGUUAAAUCAAAUAGCUGCUGCUGUUCCAACUACUAACCCCGGUACACCAUCACAACCGGGAGGAUUAGAAUCUGCAAAUCUUGUAGACAUGUUUGAUGCAGGUAAUUGGAGUAACCCCGUCAAUGAAUUUUCUACUGACCUUCUGCCGGUCAAGAGAGGCGAUCCAGGACGCCCCGUCAUCCCGAUCUCCAUCGGCAUGGUGGACUUCCCAGAAGCACUCUGUGACUUUGGCUCCAGUGUCAACAUUAUACCUAGGGUACUCUAUGAAAAAUUCUUUACAUAUCCUUUACUAGAGACAACCAUGUGUUUGCAGUUUGCAGAUCAAACGAUAACUUUCCCAAAAGGAAUAGUGAGGAAUCUUUGUAUCCAAGUUGGUACCUUGUAUGCCCCAGCAGACUUCGUAGUGGUAGAGACCGGAAAUGAUGAGAGAGCACCUAUCAUCUUAGGGAGGCCAUUCUUGAAUACCACGGGAGCUAUCAUCUACGCCAGUGCUGCCAAGAUCAGUUUCUACGUCAAAGGGAAGAAGGAGACAUUUUUCUUCAAGAACAAGACUACACAAAUUCCAGAUCAAUCCAGACGUAAAUCAAGGAAGAGGACCAACAGGAGAAACAGGAACAAGCAAGUGUGGACCGAGUCAGCUAAGAUGGUCACUGUAGUUCAUGGAGGCCAAGAUCAUCAACUUAAGUCACCGUGUUUGACCAAGAAGGAUGACCCAGGAAUGCCCAGCAUUUACUGCUCCAUAAAUGGAUACAACUUCUACAAGACAUUUUGUGACACCGGAUCGGGCGUCAACAUAAUGGCCGCAGUCACCUAUCGGCUUUUGUUCGGAACCAUGCCUCUAAGACCAACAUACAUUCAGCUCCAGAUGGCAGAUCAGACAUUUCGAGAAGUUAAAGGAACAGUAACUGAUGUCCUAGUCAAAAUAGACGAUCACUUUGUCUACACAGACUUUCAAGUUGUUGACAUGGGAGAAGAUGAAUAUGAUCCACCCAUCAUCCUUGGAAGACCGUUCCUCAGCACCGUUAAAGCAAUUAUCUACAUUGGAACCGGAGAAGUCCAUAUGCACUUUCCGUCAGAGAAGGUACGUCGUUACUUUACUGACCCUAACUAUAUCGUUGAAGAAUCUAAGCAGGUAAGGAAAAGAUGCAACCGCAACCAGAGGAGGCAGAUCAUCAAGGACGGAUGGGCAGACUACGAAGGGGAAGUUAUAAGGUCAGAAGACGUAGAAUUUAAAUAGAAUUAUCCAGAGGAGAUUGAAGCACCAAGUCAGGUAUGGAAAAUGAAGAUAACUAUACAAGAAGAGGAGGCGCUGCCGGAAGUACCGACUACGCCACCCAACGAACCUCAGGACGAUUAAGAAAUUGGAGAGUCCCGUUCGGAGGACUUAAAAACACCGAACGCUUUGCCAAGAGUUCCACAAGCUUUGUUGUCUAUUUGAGCUCCACAGAAAUUUAAGAAUCAAGAAGACUGGCAGACGGAGGACAUUCUAAUCGCUGUCAGAAUGCUGCUGACUUUCAAAUACACCUCUACCACCUGCUAGCUACACCAAGAGAAAUUACGUCAAAAUUCAGCUUGGGGGAGAGCACCCCCAUUUAUCACGAUAAGUAUUUCUAUCUAUCUUUAUACUUAUAUUAUUUUAGAAUAUUAAAAUACACAUAAACUAUGGGAAAACCAAAUAAAGAUUUUAUGCUUAUAUAUAUAUCUUUUGCUUAGUGUGUUUAAUAAAUAAAUAAAGUGGCUAUGCUAAUCUGUAUCUAAAUAAAACUUAAGCAUGGAUAUGAUAAAUAGUUGCUCUGCCUAAUUUGCAAAUUUUAAGUUCUCUCUCAAGUUUAGAUAUAACUGUUAUAAUUUAAAGCUUGCUCUAGACCUAAACUUGUGGGAUGAAAACUUGAUCUGAAGUCUAAGUUGUUAACGGAUAUGAUAUGGGAAGGUUGAGCUGCUGUUUAUCUGUUCCUAGAGAUGCUAGAAUUCUGGAGAAUUUUAUCUUUGAAAAUCUUUAAAAUGUUGCAUGAUGAGUUCCUGUAUGAUGAGAGUUUAAAUUCCUACCACAGCCAUAUAUACAUGCUUUUUAGACUUUGAGCCACACAUUUAUUAUUUACUGCUUAUGAGCAUUGAGUGUGGUCAAGCUGUGUAGACCCUUAGGAGCUUGUCAUGUGGUUAAAUCAAGAUUCACUUGCACGUUCACUCAUAUAUAUGCUACUUCUACUCCGGAAGUACCAUCCACAUAUAUCCAUUCAUUUCCAUCUCCAGAACCACCUAAAAAUAUUCUACUCCUAAUCCAGGAGAGAAUAACCAAAAAUAUUUCUAUUUUCCCCUUGUGAAAUAAAUGCUCAAGUUAUCUUGUUACUACCACUUGCUCAAGAGAUGAGUGCUCUAAAAAAAAUAUACGAGGAAAUAAAAAGGAGCAAGUGCUCGGAACCUCGAAAGAAAAGAAAAAGUGAGACGAGAGGUAAAAAUGGACAAGUGUCCGACAGUAGAAUUAGGGGUGCAAGAUACCCACCUGAGAGACAAAAGAAAAAAAAAGAAAGAAGAAGAAGAGCAUCUCAUUCUCCUCAUAAAGUUUCAAAAGCAAGGAAGGUAUGUAUCCCCUCAAAAGAGCAAAAGUAGAAUUAGACUUCCACCACCAUUGUUUUCACCAUUAUUAUCACAAUCAUCACCAUACACCAUUCAUUCGCCACACAUGCACAUCUUGAUUUGGCUUAUUGAUUUGUUUCUUUGGAUCCAUGGUUUGACUAUGCAAUAAAUGUCUUGUAAAUAUGUAUACUUUAUCUCCCACCUAUGAGCUCCAGAUAUUAAAGCCUUAUUAGAGUAGGGUGAGAGAGAAGGCAAUGUCACUAUGCCUCAUACCACAAAUACUACAUAUCUUGAGAGAAGGCAUAUACCAUCAAUGCCUUGGUAAGGAUCCAAAAAUACCACAAAAGAGAGACCUGAGAGAAUCAUACAAGGAAUUUCUGAGUUUUAUUUGAAAAUCUGCAAAAACCCCCAGAGCUAUAGCUGAUCAAGAAUAAGAGACAUGACACUUGACUAGACUGUUCUAUCUUUUAACUACUCAAGACAGAAGUGACAGUUACAAGUCCCAUGGUGAAGGUAAAGUAAGUAAGUUUUAAGUCUUGACAGUUUACUCUUACUCAGAGAUGAGAUCUUAUUUAAAAGCAUAUGUACCGUCAAAUUUUUUAAAAAAAUAUUGCAACAACUUAUGAUCCAUAGCUGAGUCUAUCUUUGCUCAGGGACGAGCAAGAGGUAAGCUUGGGGGAGUUUGUUGACGGUCCUUAAGUAUCAAAUUUAAUUAUCAAAUAAAUAAAGAAAAGGAUCCAAAUGAAAUCAAGAUCUAGACUUAGGGUUUUAUCUGACAGAAUUCCACGAGUUUUGGUGUUUGUCUAUUUCUGCAGGGGGUUAUCAGGAAAUAUGGAAGAAAGGCCCACAUGUCAGGAUUAUGUAAAGAUAUUAACGUGCUGCGCAAUUAUCUUACAUCUAGAAGACUCCAGAAGCCACGAGACCGAAGCGGAGGCGAAACGGGGCCUGACCCUGGGCGGCCGCCCAGUUGGUCAGGGCACCCGCCCUGCCCCUGAGUCCAAUUAGGACUCUGCUUUGCGGGAGAUCUCCACCGACCUAAAGGAUGAAUCUAAACCGUACAAUCUAUGUCGGUUUGAUCCAAGGGCCCAUAUUCACUUGGAGGGACUAUAAAACCAGACCCCCUGGCCCCUGGAGGAGGGAGCCUCUCAACCCUAAUUCAUUGUUCCAUCAAGGGAGAAGAAGCCUCUGAUCAAGAUUAGAGCCACCACAUCAAUUAGAUAUCUAGAUUAGCAUAGCUACAUAGG
Molecule: long non-coding RNA, 75132 nt
Filed under: Sorghum bicolor (sorghum)
Lineage: Eukaryota; Viridiplantae; Streptophyta; Magnoliopsida; Poales; Poaceae
Description: long non-coding RNA (SBIC_LNC017846)
Source: RNAcentral